This 85997-nucleotide long non-coding RNA is filed under the name Volvox carteri. RNAcentral describes it as "long non-coding RNA (VCAR_LNC001955)". Lineage: Eukaryota; Viridiplantae; Chlorophyta; Chlorophyceae; Chlamydomonadales; Volvocaceae. The record is from RNAcentral.
UGUCUGCCUGUCUGCCAGCCCGUCGCUCACAUUGCACUGAAGACCGCCUCCUGCAGUGUCUUGUUUUGUUCCAGCAAGUCCUCCUCUUCCUCCCCGUCUCCAUCCUGGUUUGUGCCAAGUCCAUGCCUGCAGGAGGCAUGCACGUGGAAGAGGCGGUCAUGGGAGCCUUUGGCGACAGUGACGUAGGACAGAGCGGGCAGGGCCCUGUCAGCUUGCUGUGCGGCUUGCGAGGAACCGGCGGGCACAGAUUAAUUAUGCAGGGCACGCAUCUCAGCUAAUCAAUAUAUGGAAAGGGCUCGACAUGAAACAUGAUAACAGUAGCAAUCGUGGCUAUGCCGUCCUGCAGGGGUUCCAACGAUCCUUCCCAUCCAGGCCGGGAGACUUGCGGCUCCCUGUAGCACAAGACUCGUAAGGACGUAAAUGGUUUGAAAAUCUCAUUAGAUAAUACGUUUAGUCAUCCAUUUAAGUGGAUAAUGAAGCUUUAACGGAGUGAUGGGGAUUCAGUUGGGAAUAAAGGGACGAAGUUAGGAUGAGGCAGUGCCAAGGGAAAGGGUUGGGGAUGCGUUGCGAGCGCUUUGGGAGGAUGGAGCGGCGGUGUGCGCUUCAUGUCGUAAGGAAAAGACUUAAGUGGCGUCAGAAACAAGAGCUUAAGGUGUCUUCAGCCGAUGCUAAGGCCUGCUAAGGUUCCCGGGACGGCGCUGCGAAGCGCAGCGCUGAGUUAUCGUCGUCGGGAAGGAGUGAGGCAACAGCGCCGUUGGACUCCGGCCUUGAGCAAACAAACUGCUAUCUAGGUUAUUACAGAUUUCAACGCUUAAUGUCACACUUGAGGGUGUAUUAGCGUGUCAAAGCGUUGACCGGGUCAGCAUUUUGAGAUAAGUGUAUACGCAUGGAAGGCCCGGUACUUCCGACCCGGAGCCUUUAGUGCUCUGGGGCUGCUUCCAAAGCACAACAUGUUUAAAGAUAAUCAUUGCAGAUUUUGAGGUCAUAGAGCGCCAGUGGUUGGGUGUGUAACGGCGGUUGGCGUCAAUUCUACAUGUCUGGCACUUACCGCUUCCGCAGGCGCUCAGUCGCAUCACCAGCUGAAGAUGUUUCAGAAUUUGCUGAGCGCAAAGAGGCCGCCCUUGAAAGCGUCAUUUUGCCACCCGGCCCGCCGGCAAGCCACCAACCAUAAGGGCUGAGAUUCCUCCUGCUUCUAAGCGGCGCUGCCUAUGAGCUUAGUAAACCAUAUUGUUCAUAUAAUAUGUCAAAAGUAUCUUACAUUUAGCGCUUCCUAAAGCUGAAAUGGAAAUAUACGGCCUGUCGCCUGCCAGCUCUUGCUCAGGUUACUCCACUUUGGUACUCUGGCGCGCUGUUGUACAUUUGCAGCUAGUUGUCGCCGUAAACGAUAUCAAAAUUGCGUUAUUAACCCCGCAGAAACGUGGCCCAAGGUCAACAUGAGUUCCAUAUUGUCGUACCUUUACAGGCAUCUCGGACUUCAGUAGAUACAGUUUACAAGGUCAUAAUUUAGCUUGGAAUGAAUUAUCUUAUUAUCAAUUCAUUACCAGAAUAAACCGUCAUGUCUCCAGCGAGACAAAGUGUGUACGUCGGAAGACACGCCUCGUCACGCGACGCAGGAUAUUUACUGAGCUCAUCGCCUGUCUGGCCCUACAGUAUCCAAACCCAUACAACGAUAAUCCUGGCGGCUGGGGAGCGAUGCUCCAUUGAGGCUGGGAUGUAUCUUAAAGCAACGCCCGAGGGCUCCUGCCACCUCAAUUGCAUUACCCGCCGUGAGAAAGCUUUAGCGCGCAAAUCCGCGGAUGUGUUUGUGUGUAUAUCUGCAUUAUGGAUCUCAGCUGAAGCCGCCAGCCCUGCUUAGCCUAGCUCUUUCAGCGCAUCUCAGCUCAGCUCGCAUCAUUGGUGCACCGUUGUGCAUGUGAUGCUAUUCCUUGCCUAUCGUACGGCUUUUACAUUCACCUGCCCCUCCUGGCGCGGUUCUUGAUCAUACCCGUAUACACCUCUGUUUCCCUCAUUCUGCCCCUUUGCGCCGCUCCUGCGUGCCCGGGUGUAACGCGUCGCCUCCAGUAGAAGAGGGAUAUUGCCGUCUCCCCGGCGCACUCGAGCUCGGGUUAUUUUAAUAACCCCGUUUGUGGGUUCGGACUAAAGGGCUGCCGUGUGUAGUUAUGCUGUAGGCCACCGUGGCCACCUGAUGGGGCGCGUGGGAUCCUGGCCUGGCCUUUGAUGUGAGUUUACAGGGCUGGGAAUGCUUCCAACGCGGAUGGGGAGACAUAUUGGGUUCGGCAACCAACCGCCACACAAUACUGUACGACUACAGCUGUUAAGAGAAGAUUCCUGGAUUGUUUCUUUGCAAGGCAUCAAAGCGCAUUGCUGUCAACAAGAAAGCGGGAAUAUUUUGUGGUAAUACGAUGCAUUGCAAGCUGCAUAAAGCAGUUAGUCAUGGCAAUUUGGGUGGAGACUUUCUGCGGAUGCACCAUGUUCCAAGGGCUUUGGGGCCUCAUAUUUCACAUAAGUAUUACAGUGCCACAUCGAUGACAGGCGCUGUCCCAGGACCGGGCGACAGGCUUCGCGCAUCAUCGGUCGCCAUUUCCGGUCCAGCCUCCUUAUCGCUCUGGAAUGGCAUCGACGAGUUCACGUGCUUCAAAGAUCGCAUUGAUGCACCACCGCUUCCCAUGCCGUCCAUCACCGAGCCAGUUCGCGUCGUCAUCGUCCGGCAUGGUCAAAGCACCUGGAAUGCUGAAGGCCGCAUCCAGGGCAGCACAGAUUUAUCAGUGCUUACAGAAAAGGGAAUCAAGCAAGCUGAGAAAACACGCGACAUGGUGAGGCUUUGGUGGAUUUGCUGACUUUACCAGCUCGCGAUUGCAUCGAUGGUCCGUUUGGAUGUUUCCUCCAGCCCUACCCUACGCCCAACUCACGUCCAAAGGGUCCUAAGCCUCUAACGACCCAUACUUUACCCUCCCCUCGCAAUUACAACCGCGCCGUACUUCCCUCCCCCCAUACAGCUGUCCUCCAUGCGCUUCUCCGCAGUGUUUCAGAGCCCCUUGGCCAGAGCUCGGCAAACAGCAGAUGUGGUGCUGCAGGUGGGGCCUGUGCGCACGUUUGGGACGCGGUGAAUCGGUGCCACUUCCAGUCCACAAAAAACCACCCAGCCCGAACCCGCUCACCCGGCGGGAAUCCAUGAACCCCGUUGUUUUGCGUCUCAGGGGCAAUCCACGAGGAUGGGUGAGGAGGACGUCGACGCGGAGGAGGACGUCAUCAGCGGCUCCGAUACCGUACGGCGGAUUACGCUGCCGUCACUGCGGGAGAUCGACCUCUAUCACUUCCAGGUCCGCCUUCAGCGCCAACCCCAACCCCAACCCCCAAAUGGAUGGAUGCGUCCUGACGGCGUGCAGGGAGGAUCAACCCCUCAACCCUCCAGAAGUGAAGGGUGUCUCUCUCACAAGCCGGGGGGGAACAGCUCUCGGAUAAAAACCAACCCUGAAGAGACACCCAAGCAAACACUGAAAAAAGGGAAUGUGAGGGAUAGAGCAACGUUCUGAGCAGGACGGAUUUGUUGCUGUUGCUGCUGAUGUUGUAAUCAUGGUUGAUCUUAUUUCUAUUAUCUAGUCAAUGUAAGUCAGAUUAUCUAAGGGUAAUUUGGCUGUUGACUGCGGUACAGCAGCAGUAGCAAUCGCCGCGACAGCAGCAUCACUGUGAGCUCCAGUACUCGGAAAGUAAUUAUGCAGUCUCGACCUCGCCACAUAUCGUGCGACGGAUGUGCGGAUGUGCGUCACCUCCGCCACCACCACCAUCACUACACCCACCAUCAUCACCACCAGCAGUUCCCCUCUAUGCCACUCUGACUUCAACCACGAUGCGUGUGCUAUUUUCUGAAUCGUAACUACCCACCUCCCCUCACAUCACCUUCCCUCACCCACCGGAAGUGAUCCCCCUCACCCCAUCUCACCCCACCUCGCCUUCCAUCGCGGGGGCCAUCAGGGCCUGCUAAAACACGAGGGCAAGGCGCUGUACGGCGAUCAGUACAGCAAAUGGCAAAAAGAGCCGCAUACUUUUGAACUGAACUCUCACGCGCCAGUGAGGUGCGUCCGUCGCUUAAAGUAUGUUGUCAAGCUCGUUAAUUUGGUUGAUUGCUUCGUUGUUUGUUUGAUUGGUUGGUGUUGGACACGGGCGUGUUUGCGGAGGAAAGGUGUGGAGAGAGAGAUUAUGUGGGUUUGGGCGAUGCCGCUUGGGCGAAAUGAUAGCAAUAAUGACAAUACCAUCAGAUAAUAUAACAACCAGAUACUAUAAUAUAAUACAUGGAGACGAUGAUGAUUAUAACAAUGGUAAAAUGAUAAUACAAUACAAUGAUAAUGAUAAUGAUGUAACGACAACAACAAAUAACUAAUAGCAAUAUGCGUUUGUGUACACAUUUUGUGUACACGUGUAUGUACGUACGUGUCUUUAAAGUCUUUGAAGUUCGCCCCCGCAAACCCGAAAGACAGCCCUUGCUUCUGAAGCUCAUGACGAGGAGGCAUCACCGCAUGUAUUUUCCACUGCGCGGGCCACCGUCCUUCGUCCGCACCCACACCUCCCCCAGCUCCCAGGGCUCGGCACCCUCCCAUUCAAGGCCCUUCCCUCUCUCAUUGCCUGAGGGGCCCUAGGGGCCCUAGGGUUCUGUCCCGCGUCCCAACUCCUGAUGAACUGGUGACGACUAUGGCAAUGAUAGCUUGUCGACGUUUCAGGGUUUUAAAAGAAUUUGAAAUGGUUUUAGGGUUUUGAAAUGGAAGUAUGGAAGAGCGGCGCUCAAUGUGAUCACGAAAACUUGUCCUGCGGGGUUUAAUCGUAUGGCUGCAGGGAGCUUUGGCAUCGCGCGUCCCUAGCCUGGCGAAACCUGCUACAGCGGCCCCAACAGGGCGCCGGGGGGUCGACAGUAGCAGCAACAGCAGCAGCAGCAGGUCGACCGGCGGCGGAGGCUGUUGCGCGAACCGACCCGCGGGUAGUCCUCGUGGUGGCUCAUAACGCAAUCAAUCAAGCUCUCGUCGCGACCGCACUGGGCCUGCCGCCGUCAUAUUUCCGGUACGACGCGUCCGGCGUACACGUCCGGCGUAUCCCAGUCAUACAAGCAGGGGGCUACAGAGCAAAGCUCUCUUGGGGGUCUCUGGAUUCACCUGCCUUCCUCAAGGGACGGCGAAACAUGUGUUUCUUUAGAGGUCGGUUUGCAGCGCCUAUUAACGGUAUGUUUUGGAUGAGGAUAGGGGGUGCGGGAGAGGGGGAGGGGAGGGGAGGGAAAAGGAGGGGAGGGGGAAGACGCACACGCAAAGCCCACCGGUGUCCCCCCUUUCCCUCCCGCCCCACUUCUCCCCCUCACCUCCCUUGACCAUUUUCGGCGCGCAGACGGCUUCCCCAAAACAACGCCGCAUUGAGCGUCAUUGAUCUGGAGCCCUCAACAGCUACCGUGACAAACACAAACGCUAGCAGCGGCGUUCGGAUUACGUUGUCCUGCCUCAACCAGGUGUGUAUAUAUGAACACGGGAGAGUUGUGUAUUGCAAAAUUGGAGCAGCGGUCGCAAGGUCGGGGCGCGUGCAUGUAUGUAUGUAUGUCUGUACGCAUAUGUGUGUGUGUGCGAGUUGGCUCCUGGAGGGGUAACUGCUGGAGGGCGGAAAGAUGUUUUUCACGUUAGGCGGGGCAGGAGGUCGGUUGCCGACGGCGAUCCGGAUUGGAGCAGUGAGGGUUGAAGGGUUUUGGCCCUCCUAGUGGAUAACAAAAGAAGAGGGAAACAAAACAAGCAAGAAUGAGUAUCUCGGGGCAAAGCGCAUUUUGGACCCUGAUGGCCGCAGCUGAGCCCCGAGAGACGUCUGGUGGUGUCGCCUCAUAGAUCCAUCAUCAUAAAAAAAAGUCCUGAGCGCUGAGAGCGUCCACGCCCCUCCAGCGCAUUUCGUAGUACAUGCUUUUCAGCGAACAACGCAUAUCUGUCCUCUUCUUCCGCUUCCUCUUUCCUUCCAACCACACUCCUUCUCUUUGUAUUCCGUAUUUUUCCGCACCCUUACUUCCCCUCUCCCUUCUUUCCUAUCUUACAUACAUACAUACGCACUCACACACGUACACCCCUAGUCCCCGGACAACCCGUUCAAGAACCCCGACAAGGUGCUGGCGAAUGUGGUGCUGGUGACACCGCCGUCGUCUUCACAUCCACAGCGGCGCAAAGCACAGCAACCUCCGAUAGUGGCGAAAAGGGAGAUGCUGUUGGAAGUGCAGGAGGAGGUGGAGGAAGAGCUGCGUUCCUUGGCGGCAGUGCUGAGCAAGCUGCAGGUAGGGAUCUGGUGUGUGGGGGGGGGAAGAGCAUGGGAGGGUCCAGAACAGGGAGCAGGACGGAGGAACUCUGCAAGGGCGGCAACACCAUGAUGUACUUGUAAGGUCCCACCCUCACACAGCUCGAGACAGCGGAGGCCCCAAAGGCCGUGGUGACAAAUGCGCUGUGUAUGUAUGUAUGAUGUUGUUACAGGGUGGUAUAGCUUCACCAGCGGCCCCCUUUCCCUUGGAGGCAGUUCCCUGCUCGCCCCUGCGAGAGGGGCACCCUAAUCCAUUCACCCCAUCCGACUUCAGAACGUAUUCGUUGGGUUCAGCAACUCACCACCAGCAUCCAACCUAAUCUAGCGGAUAAACGGCGCCACAACUUAUUUCCUGGUCAGCUCGCAAGUUGAUAUAAUCACGUCCCACACCGUCCACAAGAUGGGGGGCCACCUCCCAAUUCAACACCCCUCACACACCGAGGGGUCGGCAGGCGGAUCUGAGCCCGGAACCUCCGGGAGCACAAGUCAGGCCUUAACUUCUGCCAGGCCUUAACUUCUGCCAGCCACCUGCCUAAUGUAUUUAUGUAUGUAUCUCUGACCCCGACACGUUAAAGUUCAAGACCUCCGAGACUCGUAAUUGUGGGAUUCGACUAUGCAGUGGUCUGUCAUCUCAUAACCAACUCAACGGUCCAACAGUCCGUUUUACAACGGACUCAACCACAACUAACCUCCGGUUCAUCUCGUCCUGGUCCCCGCCGGGCAUCGUAAGGCAUCUGCAUCCCUCCCACUUCAUUUGCCAAGCACAUCCAGCUGAGGCGACCAACCGACCAACAUAUUUCAAACGAUACCCGACCAACGAAAUACAACUAACCCAACCAACUCAGGUAACCCACGUGCUGGCGGGUCCUGGCGUCAGCGCGGCCACUGCGACGGCAUUGCUGGCGGGACAGCAGCCGCCACCUUCAGUGAAGCCACCGCCGGAGCAUGCAGGCCGUGCCGGCGAUGGCGGCAGUGCCGCUGCGGUGGAGUUCCUGCCGUCCAGUGCGCCAGCGGAGGCCAUCUGGCAGCGUGCAGUAUCAUCGCUGGUGACGGCGGCACCGCCGCCGCCGCCAGGCGACGCUCGCUCUUCGUCGUACGGCAAUGUGCUUGUCGUACUCGACGCUGAGAGUCACGUGGGCGUAGUUUGGGCGGCGCUUGGUAUCCCGAGGGCCCAGCGGGGGGCGGGGGAGGGGGAGGGGGAGGGGGCGGGCAACGGCGGUACUGGUGGCUGUGCGCGGCUGAUGAGCGUUAGUCCGGGGGGUUUGACUGUCGUUGAGUUUUCGUCGGAUCCCCGGGUAACUCCCGCGGUGGUGCGGUGCAUUAAUAACACGGCACACCUGUCAUCGAGGCGGCGGCGGUAGCGGCCGUAGCAGUGAUGGCUGCAGGGGCGCGUGUUACGUCUGGAAAGCACAACUCUUGCACUCCAACUGUAUAAUAAUUUUUUAACAUACAUCAUCGUAAUGGAGAUCUGGGUCAACUCGAUUAACUUAGGAAGAGAUGAAGGAAAAUCGCGGUCCACGGUGUUUUAUGCGGGGCACAUGAACUCAUGCAUGUGGGCGGAGGGCCUAUCAUUGUCUCUAUUGUGCGUUGGGCUCCUUAUGUGAUGUACAUCCUUAGUUAGCUAUUGUACUGCAUUUGUACUGCAUUCCGUGUUAUACCCCGGUUCGUGAUUGUGGGAUCAGGACCAGGACCAGGACCAGGAGAGCGAAUUCCCUACUCGCAUGUGCGCUGCCGUAGUUGGGGAGAGGAAGAGGUAGACGUACGGAAUGCGCCCGCAGCAGCAGGAGGGGGAGGAGGGGAAAGGCAGAAGGUGAAUGCAUACACAUCUACAAUACGGACAUACAUACAUGCGGACACCUCAGCAAAGCAGCCCGGGUAACCACCCAGCCUCCGAAGCGGUUCAAGCUCCGAAACGACGGCAGGGUUGGAGCAUGCUGCAUCGUCAUCUGUGCACACGGCGCAGUGCUGCAGUUUACUGCAGCACCUUUUGUCGUUUGCAGCUCCUCUACAUCGUCAUCAUCAUCAUCAUCAUCAUCAUCACCCGCCAUGUGAUCAGCUGCCAACCUUAUGAUUACGUUGCGGUAGUGGAUAUGUCCCCCGCUUCUGUGCUGCUGUGACAGUGGUAGCGGUAGCGGGCUAGCUAGGUAGGUUGGCUUUCAAGGGCGCUUUGCAGGGCGCUUUUGGAAAGCUUAGUCCUUUGCUGGUUGUGAGAAGCUAUUGAGGAUUAUUAUUUAAGGGAAAGUCGCUGAGUUGGGGUGAGCAAGGCGGAGGGAGGUAGGAAGGAGGGGAAAAGUGGCUGGAUUUCAGCUGUGUCCGCUUACCCUUAGUUAUUGGUGCAACCUGUGGUAAGUACCUGAGGUUUUGCAGCCUGUUGGAUUUGUGUCCAAAGCGCCAUGUAAUGUAAGCUAGGUUUUUAAACGAAGUUGGAUCAGUAAGCUCGGGUAUGCUGUAUCUUGAGCCUAAUGUUCAACACGGUUCCCCGUUCCAUACGCCUGUCCGUCCUGUCCCAGCCAUCAUCACCUGCCAUCCGAGCAGUGCACGCCCGGGAGUUCUAUUGUUGUGGUCCUUCCCGUCCUCCGUGUUGCUCACCCGUCCGCAUAUGGUCUGCGAUUCGGUUCUGAUUACCCUUCCUUAGGGUCCCCAUUGAACCCGGGUCAGUGCUGUUCCUAGCUCGACUGUAUUUUUCCUCCGCCGCGGCAGCACAUUUUUUAAUGAGAACUCGAGAGACGAGUAUGUUAUUGCGUUAACCCAUCGAGACACGUUCCGAACCGAGCGACAAAAGGAAUGGGGCGACACUUAUACUAUAUUGCACCAUGAAAAGGUUAUCGAACCACUACUGUACGCAUAAAGGAUGACAGGUAAGGACAUAAGGAGAGGUAGCGGGCAGGUGUUGAAGCUUGGUGAAAAGUAGUCCCUGGGAAGGAAUGGGCCACGCCUUCCCAAAGUAUCUCCUGUUUGGAAGAGACUCAUACAGGAGAUACUGAAAAGUAAUACGCGGUGAACUAACUGAGUCUGCACAGAGAAAACCGGUGCUGCGGCGGAGAAGCGAAAAGGGCGGUUGUGCCGAGUCAGCACGGCACGACGGUUGUGUAGCUUCCGGUACCAAUGUUUUCAGCUGCCACAUCAGAAAAAACUGUCGUCCAUGUGCAUGUAACAGUGUAUACACUGAAGGGAGGACCCCGACGUGAGCUCAGUUUUUAAAAGUUGCCUAUUUCCCCACACAGCUUGCAGUUUCAAUUUCACGGUCAAUUGUAUCACGUCUCAGCAGCUGAGCACUUGCUUUGUCAAAUUCGGCCUCACGUCGGCGCGAUAGCGGCCACUCCGCAGGCCAUGGCGCAGGAAUGGCGCAGCAUUGCCCCCGACCAGCAGCAACAGCUAACUCUGGCUCCGUGCGCCGCAACGACUCCGGCUCGGACCCGAUCGACUGCUAAAAUGCUGCCGCGCUUUGACCCGGGCGUCAUGGAGACGUACCUGGACGACAUGCGCGAAAUGAAGGCAAGGGUCCACGAACUCUUUCGACAACAUCCGGACCUCCUUCCCAACGUGGAGGAGGGCCUUUCCAAGGGUGAGUUGUUGCCAAAGUUGCUGCGCGACAAGAGGCAAUCAACUGGCCCAGCACCAGCUGCGGUCCGUUGACGGCCUUUGGUUAGUUUGUUUGGGACACGUCAGCGCCCACCCGUCAACGACCCAUGACGCGCUUCAAUGUUCUUCCGAGGCGGACACGUGCUUCUUGCCUGUAGCCAACGCUGAAAUGCAUUUUCACUUAACCAGAUGUGUUGAGCUUAAUGACGAACUUUUCGUGGUCGAGGCCAAUCGCCCCUGGGGCAGAGGGAGUUUUUCCGUUGUAGGGGAAAGGGGAAUUCGCCAGGACCAAGUCUUUCCUGAGAAGUGGCGAUCAUUUUCUCUGGUUUAGGUGGAUCGGCACCAUAUAUGGAUACUCACAAAUAGGUGAAGCAAUGGAGCAUCCAAUCUUACACCUCCAUUGAAAGAUACAUAACUACGCUUUUCCCUGGGCCUUGCCUUGCCCGCAAGGCCGACCAGCAUCUCUCUCCGAUUGGUCCUCCUUCCAGGACGUGAUCGUGUCCUGGUGCAUAUUUGUUAUUAUUAUUAUUAUUAUUUCAUACUAAUAAGCCUCGUUAAUAAGUCCUCUAUCCACCAUUCCGCACCCUUGCUGCCUGUUGCCCGCCGCCGUGUUUGCGGCAUUUGCCUGUCGUUCUUGUCGUAUUUGCAGAGGAGCACCGUGCUUUGGUUCGUCGCUCGCUUAAGGUCAUUUUGCAGGUGCGUUUGGGAAGAUGAUGGGCAGAAGGGGGGAAAAAUGGGGUCAACAAAGGUCGACACCCUCGGUAGUACUUUUGCCCGCUCUCCAUCACUCCCUCAUGCCCGCCGCCUAUCGCUCUGACCCCGUGCCCGCCGCCGCUCGUGUUCCUUCAUCAUACCUCUUGUCCUUCUCAGGCCGGCUACAGUCCCCUGGACCUGCUUGCACGCGACCCCCGCAAGUACUUUUACCUGGGCGAGUGCCUCUCCAUGGUGGACCUGUCCCUGAUGGUGGGUACAACCCGCAAACAUGCAAAUCGGAAAAACCACCCUCGAAGCAACUGUGUGUUAAAAUAAAAAUUGAUAUAUAUAUGUAUAUAUAUUUGGAAUGUUUUAUUAUAUGUAUCAUAUGAGAAUGUAGUUGUGAAUUUUUUGUGCCAUAUCCGCCAUGAACAGGUCAAGAGCGGUGUGCAGUACAGCCUUUGGGGCGGCUCAGUUCUUAACUUGGGUAGCGAGGCGCACCGGCGCCGGUACUUCGACGACAUUGCGCAGUUUCGUUUGCCGGGUUGCUUCGCGAUGACGGAACUGAAACACGGUGAGGCGGGCUGCUGGGUACGACGUCACAUGUGAUGAGUGAUGGUGGGUACCUUUAGAGACCCGACCCUUAGUAAAAUGUAAGAAACACACAGUCAUGUAGUAGAAAAGUAUAAAAACACUAAAACACACGUGAAGGUGUACAUGUGUGCAUAUAAUAAAAUGUACAUCCAGGAAACACAGAGAACCGCGUACACACCCACAAACACACACAAACACACACACUCACACACACGCACACACGCACACAUACUCACACACGCACACAUAAUCACAAACACACACACACACACACUCACAAACACUCACAAACACACACACACACACACUGAAUAAAAAUGCCUAUGCGCAUGCAAGUCCAUGUCUCUCCUGCUCUUCGUACACAUACAAAUAGGCACAGACACACGCACAUACAGAGACACAGACAGGCAGACAGACAGACGCGUGCGGGGCAUGUGACCGCGCUCCCGGCCGGCAGGCAGCAAUGUCGCGGCUCUCCAAACGGAGGCCGUGUUGGACGUGUUGACGGACGAGUGGGUCGUCCACACCCCGGACGAGGGAGCCAUCAAGUGGUGGAUCGGGAACGCGGCGGAGGAUGGCCGGGCGGCCACGGUGUUUGCCAGGUAUGUAUGCAUGUACGCUGUAUGUAUGUAUAUAUGUAUGCUGUAUGUAUGUAUGCAUAUACAAGACAUAAGUAGGAGGGGAGGGGAGGGGGAGGGGAAGGAGGAAGGUUAUGUCAGGCUUGGUAUUAAUUAGGCUUUUCCCUAAGCCCCCUUAACCCCCGUCCAUAAUGAAAUGAACCCCCAAUAAUCAUAGCCCGUAAUAAUUCCGUAAUAAUAAUACUAACCGUAAUAACCGUAAUAACUGCCUACCCCUCCCAGGCUCAAGGUGCCCGACCCGAACGGGGGCUCCAAGCUUGUGGAUCACGGCGUGCAUGCCUUUGUCGUACCGUUACGAGAUGAGAGCGGCAACUUGCUGCCUGGCGUCGAGAUCCGCGAUUGCGGCUACAAGGUGUGGGUGUGUUGUGUCGGGUGGUGAAUGUCAUGUCUGGUCGCCACUACUACUUCCUUUAAAGCUUGAUGUUGGUGCUGCAGCAGCGACUGCUGGUGGUGGUGGUGGUGGUGGUGGUUAUGGUGCGGAUUGCGUUUUCGUGGUAGUGGUAGUGCUGGUGGUGCUGCUGUUGGCAGUAUUUUUAGGAUCUUUUCAAUUGUGGGGGGUUCUCUCUCCCCAUCUCUCUCUCCCCCUCGUCUUCUACUGCACAUUGUCUUCACCUUGCAGUGCGCCCUGGUCCUGUGUGUUUGUAUGUGUGUAUGUGUGUACGUGUGUGCACGCGCAUCCUGGGGUUAAGGUGGGAGUGUUUCGUUGCGGCCGCGUCAGUCAGUCCGUGCUCGUCCACUGCCUACAUGUACGGAGGUCGCUUCCACCCACCCACCCAUCCCCACCCCCGAGGUCGGCGCCUUCAAGAACGCCUACUGGUCAGUUCUACUUCUUGUACACUCUUGCCCUGGCAGCAGCUUCACUCGUUCGUGGUUCGUCUUUCCCCUCUUUAGGUGGGCCUCAACGGUAUCGACAACGGCGCCAUUCGCUUUACCCACGUCCGGGUGCCGCGGGGUAACCUGCUGGACCGGUUUGCGUCUGUGGAUAAGAGCGGCAGGUACAGCAGCCCGCUGACCAGCCAGGCUAGGAGGUGAGAGGAAGGGGGAGGGGGGAGGGGAAGAGAAAUGGCAAUGAGGGGGAGUCAAUGACCCCCCGGCGGCGAUUGAUGACCCCCUGGUGUGGCCCUUUCCGUCCUUGAUUGCAGUUGAUUUAAGGUGUUUCCGUCAACAUGUAUGUAUGUAUGGAUGGAUGGAUGUCUGAGAUGUGACUGACAUGCAUACGAACUAACUUUUCCUCUCCCGUUUCAGGUUCGCAGCGACGUUGGGCGAACUGACUGGGGGCCGAGUGGGGCUGACGGCCGGCAGUGUGGGGGUCCUUAAGGUACAGGGAGGGGAGAGGAGGGAGAAGGGGGGGGAUGGCGGUGGUAGAUGAGGACUGAGUGAGGCGUCUGUUAUGGGUAGUGAUGUAAUUAUUAUCUCGUACAUUGGAAAGUGUAUCAUUGCAAUGUAUCAUUAACCUUUAUUGACCAUUCUCGUCAACCAAACAAUGUCACGCAAGCAAAACACAGCGGCUUACAUAUCUUCCCACUCACGUUCUCCCCUCAACUAACCAAACGACCAACCGACCGAUUCCCAAUAAUAACACAAAACCUAAUGCCCGCUCGAAACCCGCGAAACCCCUCAAACCCCCAAAACUCGUACACUCGUACAGGGCGCGGUGACCAUUGCGGUCCGUUACGCGGCUCUCCGUCAGCAAUUCGGCCCCCCGGACUCCCCGGAGGUUGCCGUACUCGACUACCAGUCCACCCAGGUUAGGUUGAUGCCGCUGGUGGCGACCGCGUACGGCCUCCACUUCGCCAAGUGCCUGUUGGUGGAGAAGUACGUGGACAUGAAGAGAACCCGAGAGCCCAAGUUGGUGGAGGAGGUGAGAGCGGGGCGGGGGAAGUGAGUGGGGUGGGUGGUGAGAGUCGGUGCAUGUGUGUGUGUAUUUUUGUGUAUGUGUGUAUGUGUGUGUGCAACUGGAGGAGGACAAUACGCAAGACGUAAAGGGCCAACUGUGAGUGCUUCCCUAGUUUCUGUAUGUCGUACAUUGUACCCUUUGAUUCGGAUUCGGAGCCCCCAAAUGCACCUUCACAUAUUUUAUCAAUAUUACGACUUUUUUCAUAGUGUUUGAUACCCCUUCCCUUACCCCUCCCUCCCUCCCCUACCCCUAACCCCCACGGCAACCCCACAACAACAACAACAACAAAAAAAAGGUUCACGCGUUGUCGGCCGGGCUCAAGGCGUACACGACGUCGUACACCCAGGCUGCGCUAUCGACGUGUCGGGAGGUGUGCGGCGGUCACGGCUACGCGGCCGUUAACCGGCUGGGGGCGCUGCGGUCCGAUCACGACAUCUUCCAGACGUUCGAGGGCGACAACACCGUCCUCUUGCAGCAGGUGCUGGUAGUGCAGCCUCCUAGCACAGGACUAGGGGAGGGGAGGGGCUUCCUUUCUCUGCCGCGUCAAAGCCGUUUUCACUUGUACGUGUUACGUUAACGGGGCUUCUUACCGCGUUUGCUAGGUAUGUUAUAAUCACGGCGCUUAAUUAAUAUCUAAACCCCUAUCUUACCCCCCCCCUCUCCCCCCUCUCCCCCUCUCCCCUCCCAUCCCGUGCGGAACUCAGGUCUCCGCCAUGUUGUUGAAGGAGUACCGUCAGCAGUUCUCCGGCGCCCCCCUCACCGCCACCUACCACUACCUGCGCGCGGCCCUGCUGGGGGCGCUGCCCAACAACCCGCUGGUCACACACGACACGGAGCCGCGGCACCUGAGGGACCCCGCCUUCCUCUCCAAGGCGCUGGAGUACAGGUAGUGGGGGUGGGGGUUUGCGGGUGCAGGUGGGGGAAGGGGGGGAUUCCACUGCAUUACAUAUAGUUUUGGUUGGGUUGGGUUGGGUUGGGUUGGGGGUGGACCUCUGAGCCGGGGGGGUGAGUUUGCGGCGGUUGUGUGUCUCCACUGCCUGUAUGCCUCUCCCCUUACCUCGGUUGAGAUGAUGGUGAUGGGUUACGCUGCACCUCGACUCCGCCGCCGCAGCUGCUGUUGCUGGCGGUGGCGGUGGCGCUAUUGGCUCCUACCGCCCACCACCUACCCCCGUACCCCCCCCCCACUGACCAGCCCCACCCACCCCCCUUGCCGUGCCGUUGUGUGGCUGUAGGACUGCGCGCAUGCUGUUCACGUUGAGCCUCCGCCUCCGGAAGCACGGCCCCCGUCUGGGCGCCUUCCACGCCUGGAACAAGUGCCUCAGCCACGUGCUUGACCUCGCCAACGCCUACGUAGAGAGCGUAGUGUACAAGUAAGUGUAAAGAGGGGUGAGGGGUGGACACGGCGGGUGGUGGGCGGGUGGUGGGCGUUGGGCCCACAACGCAAUGUUUGGUGUCGGGAAACUCGUCGCCGUACUGCGUGUACGGUACGGAGUGUUCUCACCCCUGCUACAGCUUCUUUUUCCCCUCUUGCCAACCUCCACGGGAUGAUCAACCGUGUCCUUCCUUUCCGCCGUGUAGCCCUUCCUUUGAGUGAUUUGUGGUCCGUGUGGUGUACGACCCCCACCCCAUUUCCCCCCACCACCCCCCACCACCCACCCCACCCCCCACCACGUUUGAUACUCUCUUGCCCUGGCAGCAGCUUCAAUCGUGUGUGGUUCGUCUUUCCCCCACCACCCACCCCACACCCACCUGUUCAGGGGCGCACCGGUAGUUGGUUCCCUGCAUCUUACAUAGCCUUACAUCAUCAAUACACCAUCUUACAUCAUCAUCAUCAUCAUAUUAUCGUCAUGCAUCANNNNNNNNNNNNNNNNNNNNNNNNNNNNNNNNNNNNNNNNNNNNNNNNNNNNNNNNNNNNNNNNNNNNNNNNNNNNNNNNNNNNNNNNNNNNNNNNNNNNNNNNNNNNNNNNNNNNNNNNNNNNNNNNNNNNNNNNNNNNNNNNNNNNNNNNNNNNNNNNNNNNNNNNNNNNNNNNNNNNNNNNNNNNNNNNNNNNNNNNNNNNNNNNNNNNNNNNNNNNNNNNNNNNNNNNNNNNNNNNNNNNNNNNNNNNNNNNNNNNNNNNNNNNNNNNNNNNNNNNNNNNNNNNNNNNNNNNNNNNNNNNNNNNNNNNNNNNNNNNNNNNNNNNNNNNNNNNNNNNNNNNNNNNNNNNNNNNNNNNNNNNNNNNNNNNNNNNNNNNNNNNNNNNNNNNNNNNNNNNNNNNNNNNNNNNNNNNNNNNNNNNNNNNNNNNNNNNNNNNNNNNNNNNNNNNNNNNNNNNNNNNNNNNNNNNNNGGGGGGGGGGGGGGGAACAGGGGGGGUAUAGUGGUGGUGGUGACGCAGCUCCCCACGUGGACGGCCGCAUGUGUAUAACUUGCGGUUGCUUUGUGUCUCUUGGUUUUAUAAUAAAGCUGUAACAUUAGCGGUCAAGUAUCAAUAAUGAUGAUGGUAACAGACACAGCAUAUAAGAGGUGGGUUGCUGUCGGAAGGUGGCUGGGAUGUCUGUGUGGGGGUUAAAGAAGUAGUAGCGGGUAAUUAGUAACCCCCAUAUAUUGCCAUUUACAACCCGCAAGAGGGUCAACCCCCCCCCGCCCACCCGCCCACCCCCACCCUCGUUCAUGUUGUGGCACUCAGGAACGAUGAGUACAUUGCGCCGUCCAAGGCGAAGGCCAUCAGUCGACUUGUGGUGCAGCUGUGCAGCGAGCUGCGCGGAGUGGCCAUUAACCUGGUGUGUGGGAUGGCGGUGGGGUGGCGGUGGGGGAGUAUGCCACGGGGGGAGUCGGCGUGUCGAUAUGGUGGAGGAGGGGGAGGGGUGGGAAGAGGGGCAUGCUAAGGCGUGUGUGUGUGUGUAGGAGAGGCGGCCGCUGUGUACGUCAUACAGCAGGGACAUGAAGGAAGUGACCGGCAGACUAGGAGUAUCUCGCACUAACUAACUAAGGAAGGGAGGGAGGAGAGGGCAGGUGGUCGUAUGCAUUGGUGCAAGGAGUGAGUGAGUUUACCGUCACUCAUGGACAUUCUUCACACGGAUUUGGAAGGGUUGAACCACAAAUGUGAGAUCAUGAAGGCUGAUUAAGGGGAGGGAGAAGCCCUUUAGAAGGCGCUGUGCGGUGUUGAUGUUGUUGUGUGCUGUUUCUUGAGUUGUGUUGCCGUUUGUGUAUAUAUACGUAUGUAUGUCCGUGUGACCUGCAGGUGGACUCGUUUGCGAUUCCGGACCACAUACUCCGCGCGCCCAUCGGUCUGGGGGGCAACGGCGGGCCCCAGCCGGAUGCGUACCGCGAGUACUUGGCGGCGGCCGGAUUUGAAAUCUGACCCCUCACCUCACCCGCCGCCGCCGCCGCCGCCGCCUCUUCCUCCUCCGGCACGUCCUGGAACUGAUGAUGAUGCACAUGUCAAGAUGUGUAAUAUGAUACCACUGGGGGGGGGGGUCAACGGGGGGAAGGGAGGAGAGGGCGGCCCGUGAUUAUCCCGCUGUGUGCGCCUGCUGGUGACAGACAUGCACGUGCUGGUGGGACCGGCAGGAGGGGCGGGAGUGUGUAUGGGUUUGGGUGUCGUGGAUGUAUGAGGGGUGGGGUGAUGACAGGGUGGCUGGUGGGUCUUUUUGCUGUGUCUGAAAGGAGUCGGAAAGGAGCUGUUGCGCGGCAGAGGAGGUGCAGGGGGGAGGAGAGGAGUGCUUUUGCAGCAGAAGCAGGCCCAGCACCUGCACAGACAGGCGGCAGCACCCGCACCUGCAGGGCGGUGUACGGGAGUGACUGCUUACCCACCUCUGUGUGGAGGAGGAGGAGGAAGCAGUGUACGACAAUGGGUGUUUGCGGUCCUGCUCCUUUAUCCCCGCCGGUCCUAUAAUGCCCUAUUGUACGACGGCGGCGCGGCACGUGCUGACCCCACUCUCGCUGUUAGGCAAACAGACAGACAGACAGACGGAUUUGCUGAUUUACUCCCGUCGUGAUAUUUACAGGGGGAAUCUCUAAAAAGGGGUGAAGACUCCGGGGGAGGUGAUUUCCUCUUGGUGCCCGGUCUAGACUAGUGGCAAUUCUUUGGUCUGUCUCGUACAUCUGUACAUGUUCGUAUCGCGCACACACGCACGGCGGCCGCCUCCUAUACCAAUCCACAUCCUUCCGACGACGUCGGUACGACCCUCCGCGGAGCACCACACGGGUUGCGAGCGAGCGAGCGUAGCAAACAGACAUUGCCCUUCUGCCUCUGGUCGUUGCCUCUGACCCCCGGCCGACACAAUGCGAGCCAUGGAACACACCUCCCUUGCCGCCUCUUCCCGCCCUUUCCGCUUUUAAUGGAGGUUCAAAUUCUCUUUCUAUCAUUUGUGCUCUUGUAGCUUGGUAUUGCGGUGUUUUUGGAGGCCAAGUUACGAUGUGUGCUUACAUCGCGUGAUGUGUGUGUGACACAUUGCUGACGUGUUGUGUCGGAUGGUAUUUUGUUGGUUCGCCACAAUUAGCGCGACAGGUGUGUGUGCGUGUGGGUUUGUGAAGUGGAUGUGCGCGGCGAGAUGAUGCGCUUCAGAUUUCAAGCACUCACACGGCGUCGCGUUUUGUAAUUUGUUUGUUGGUAAGGUGGUUUCAUGGGUUCAUGGGUGAUCGAAAUUGAUUCGAUGUAUUUUUGAGAACAUUCGUAGUACAGCAGCGUACACAGUCGCACUCUGGGAAUGAAAGGCGAAUAAUAAUGCCGUGUCCCGCUAAAGCUAUCGCCCUUUUGUUUCAUUUUUCUCCUCUGCGUUUUUUGUGGUGUUUGAUGCAUCAUAUGGGAAAGAAACAAAAGGGAGCAUAGCAUGUGAUGGCGCACGUAUGCACACUGGCCCAUCAUGAUGAACGGCGCGCUUGGCAUUGUGUAUGGUGUCGGCGUAUCGGUGAGAUAAUCCCAACUCCCGCCCCAUAUCUCUGCUGCCAUUGGCAUGUGGGGAGAUGCGCACCGCCUAUGCGGUUUCUUUUUUUCGGUGUGUGCGUAUGUGUGUCUGUGUGUUGUAACAGUGCUGAAUCACCACGGGCGAAGAGUUUCUCGAUCUUAACGUUAUUACAACCUAGAAGCCCACAGCAAGAGAUAUAUGUUGGAAAGCCUGAGGAGGAAAGGGGUGGGUGAUGACUGAUGGGGGGGUGGCCGGCUGGGUCGGUUACCUAGGUUUCAUCUCUACUCCCCGCCGAGAACAUAUCGAUCAAUGGUUCUUUCAACAGCAGUAUAAGGCUUGGGUGCGGCUAUCUAUCGGUAGACCCUUCCAUCGGAGUGUAUGACAGUUAAGAGGGAGUCAUUCAGGCACCUAGUGUAGUUGUUGCACCUUGGUGAGCUGCUCAAUCACUCAAAUCACUCAAAUUACUGCCUGAUAAGAAAGGAUAUCAGCAACGGCCAAAGUGUUUUGCGAUGGUGGCAUAUAUACAAAAGCUAAUAAGGUAAAUUUACAGGACACCAUAAGGCAAACCGAUGACUCGAAAUAUUUAUAACGCGUCGGCCUUCCCUUCCUAUCCGCCGAAGAUACCAUCCCUAAUACGAAAUACAUUAUAUAUAUAGAAGCCGAAAUCCUAUUUCCAAACUUUCCAAAAAUCGCUAUUUCUGUCUCUCUUAUCCUUUCCUUCCGACUUGGAAAUCUCCCCAGGGCCCCGAAACGGCGCAACAAACGGCGACAACAAGCGGUGCUGUUCCUCUGCGAUGCACCAUCGCCUCUUCAACAGACUCGCCGUCGUCUCCGCCUCUGGCUCCGUCCCAUCACGUCUCAAUCGUCAAUCGCGUUUAUCCUUUUUGGGAUCUCUCAGAUAACGAGGGGAGGGAAGGCUCCCUUUCCCUCCCCCUCUAGCGGCGCAUAUAUGGGUGGUCGGGUGCGUGUGUGUGCGUGCACGUUUAGACGCAUACAUGUACCCGGGUGCAAGCGUAGCGCGAGCACCGAUCUGUACCUAUCUAUCUAUCUAUGUAUCUAUCUUUCUUCUUUUCCUGAGCGCGCGCGCGUGUGUGUGUGUGUGUGUGUGUGUGAGCGCGGAAACAUUACUAGGAGCAAUACACACCCAAGCAUGGUGGGGCAACAUGCGACUUCUCCUCAUUCCGUUCACGGACGGUGUGGAGUGGCGUGGGAUGAUUCCCACACAUCACCAUCUCCAACAAAGAGAAAGGCGCAUCUCCAUAUCUGCGUUUCCGCGCAUUUAGAAGCAUGUACGCGUGCACGUACGUACGUAUGUCUAUAUGUGUGUAUUAUUCGAAGGAGAGAGUGUGUGUGCGUGUAUGUGAGUAUGUAUGUAUGUAUGUGCAGUUGGCGAGAGAUCGGGGGGCAUCCCGGAGCAGUUCCGCUCCCGCCAGCUUCCCACAUCGCCUGCGCGCCCCGACUUCCCCUCCCCCCCCUUGUUUUCUCCACAAACCUUAGGCACACACACAAAAAAACCACACAUACAUACACGCAUACACACAUCAGCCCUCUUUCCGUCGGGGGAUCUUCCACGUUCCAAGUCCAACCCUCCUCACCCCCUGAUACUGAGAUUUCCUUCCUCCGCUCGCUUCAGGGACUCCCUCGCUAAGCUCUCCUGACCAUCUUAAAUAGGCAAUACAUAUUAUACAUCCAAUUGAAAAGAAAAACUAAAAUUGUUUUCGGCCUUUCGCGUGCGGUUCCUCCCCUUUAGCGGCCUUUCGCGUUCUUGCGUCGCCACGGUGGCGAUGUAAACCAACGAGUGCCUCCCUAACCGAACAAACAAACAAACAAACAUUCACCGUGCAAGUGCAUCAGUAAAAAAAGCUACCACCUGUGUAUGUGCAUCCGCACACAGGCUGCUGUACGACACGAACAUUAGGUGUCACGAGAUUAAAAAAACAUCUCACACCGUGCACAUCGAUUACAGCGAUAAAGCAAAUUCGAUAGGUGGCUACAGAAAACAAGCCACCGCGGCAAUCAUCUCUCAGUUCUCGCUCCGGAACCAUCCAGCUCCGCUUUCUCUCCCCUCUGGGCCGGGGGCGUGUGUGUGAAAGCGGCGGCAGCGGAGCGGCUCUCAGUGCUGAGGGGCGCUCACCCCUUUAUCAUCAUUCUCAUCAUCCUCAUCGAUCUCCCCCUCAUCUUCUUUUUCAGAUGCUUCCCGCAAGAAGUACUUGUUGCUUCAAUGCUGUGUCACUGACGCGGCACACACACGCACACACAGGUCUUCUCACAGACGUUUUUUCACACAGAGAUCAGAUCAGAUCAGAUCAGAUCAGAUCAGAUCAGAUCAGUAGCCAUACGUGCUGAUGCAGUCCUCGUCCUCAUAGUCGACCAGCCCAUCGCAGCUGCGGCGGCGCAGUUCGGUGGGUGCCAAAGGUGACAGAUGAGGGAGGGGGAGGGGAGGGGGAGGGGGAGGGGGGAGGGGGGAGGGACGGUGAGCGGUGUGCUCUAGGUGUGCUGACCUAGCCCCUCGUCCCCUCCCGACACCUCCCGAGUUGGGCCCCGGCGGGGAAGGGAGUGGAAGGGGGGAUAUGGCGCCAGAAGAGGAGCCAGCGGAGAGCAGCGGAAAAGAAUAAACGUACAAAUGGUGUGAGGGGGACUUUGCGGGAAGAGGAGGACGCGCUGCAGUUUGUGCUGAUUUGUGCACAUGCUGCUGCGUAUGUACAUACGUACAUACAUUCAGACAAACACAGACGGAGACAGAUAUGACAAAGCGUCGUACACCGUACGCACUCGUUGUCCAUGCCGUCGAAGCACCCGCCCAUGCCGUCCGCCUCCGUACGUGCCGUAUAGCGGCAGAGCUCCAGGAGAGCCUCCCCGCCGGUCAGCCCAGCCGCAUCCUCCUCGGGGGGCGGGGCCAGGCUCUGAAACCUGAGGGUGUGUGUGGGGGGGGUGGGGGGGUGGGGGGGGGGAUAGGUAGCGGCGGGUGGGCAGCGGUGGGGUCCAGCAGGGCAAUAUGCCCCCAGGGGGACCAAAGCGCCCCGUACGGACUCCCCGGCCCUCCCGCUCCCUCCCAUGCGGGGGGACAAGCCGGGUCGUCAUUGCGGCACAAAACACACAAUGUGGCGACAAAACACACUGCUGCUCCACAUGACGACGACGACGACGACACGCGAAGUGGUGUGGGCGGUGGUCCACUCACUCACUCACUCACUCACUCGCGCACUUCACUCUCCGGGUCCGAGCUCCAGGGGGCGGGGAGCCUUGAUAGAUAGAUAGAUAGAUAGAUAGAUAGAUAGAUAGAUAGAUAGAUAGAUAGAUAGAUAGAUAGAUAGAUAGAUAGAUAGAUAGAUAGAUAGAUAGAUAGAUAGACGUAGAGACAUACAGACAUACUAAUAGACAGACAGGCGCCAACAUCAACCACGUCUUCUCCACCCUCUCCCAUCUCCCGGACUCAACCCUUUCCCCCCCCUCACACACACAUAAACACAAAACCCCGCCCGGGAGUUCCCCCCCCCUCGGCGGGAGGCCCCCUCGCCCUCUUUCCUUCAAAUCCUCACCUCACCACAAUCUUGGCAGGAUCAAACCAGUACGACUCUCCUGCUCGUACACGGGACAAGCGGGUAGCAGGUGUCAUUCGCUCCAGGGGCGGGGGCAUCAGAACACCUCUCCCGCGGACCACGGCAACGUUGCGAACAGAACCUUACAUCACCAACAGCACGGCAUCUCUCCAGCAUGCGGAAUCGGAGUCAACGCCGUACAGACGCCGUACCUUCAGAAAACCUCCUUUUGGGUUUUUUGGGUCGUAUAACUGGAUCCGGUGCAUGUGGCGCAUACAAUUUAUUUCAAGGGAGAGGCUAUUUCUGCUAUUUCUGCUCUCAAAGGCCCACCCAGAAGAGGUUAGUUAGCUAGUUACAAGUUACAAGUUACAAGCUCCACGCACGAGUGCGGGGGUAUCCGUAAAAGCCAUUGGGGGGGUGGGGGCCAUGGACGGUGAAUCGUUUUUAGUGCGGUUACGUGGUGGACCAUCCGCCUCCUCCUCCCUCGUUCGCUUCAGGGCGAAGAAGCGCCUUAGUGCAACGUGCCGGGCCUCCGCCGGACUUCCGAGAGAGUUUGCAUAAACAUAGCAUAGCAGAGAUUCCGCUAUGUUAAGGGAACCUAAGGGAACCCCCUAAGCGCCUACCACCCUACCGGGCGACAACGCCGCCAGAAGAACCGACGGCGGCGCAGGUUCCAGGCCCUGCGGCGGCUGCGUCGCAUUCACUGUGUGUAGUACAACCCGGCCAGCCGCCGCCGGCGCCAGGCCGGCAUCCCCGCCGACGGGGGCGCGGUACUGUCCGUACAGCACCUGUGGCGCGUCGGACGGCGGCGGCUGCCAGUCGGGUACCACGAGGAGGAGGUUGGGGGCGGUUAGGGCCGCGGGGGGUAAUGAAACCGUUCGAGAUGUUGGAUCCGGAAAGUCCACUUCGGUUGAUUGGUUGUUCAGUUGACCAGCCAGUUGGUUAGUCGGUUGGUCGUUUUUGCAGUUGGAGAAGGGAUUCAGGGGAGGGAAAGACGGGGAAGAAACAGGGAGUUGAAAUUUUCGGGUCGAUGACCGAAUGACCAAGCGGUCAGGUAGCAGGUCAAGUGAAGAAACUUUCCACACACACAUACGCAUAUGCAUGUUAUUAUAUGCAUAUCAUUCCUCGUUUAGCACAUCGUAAGCUAAUGCAGUUUCGUUUCUGUUGCUGGGCUUUGGAGGCAAACAGAGCACGAAAGAGGCAAGUACCAUGUCCCCAGGGGCCAGCGGUUUUGCCACUGUUGUGGUACUAAUAGCCGAAUUGAGGAUGAAAAAACACGUGUUAUUGGAAUGCCCAGCCUAUAAUGAUAUUCGUGCUGAAGAGGGAUUCGAUCAUCAACAGAGUAUGUUGGAGGCCAUUAAAUGGGAGCCAGCACGUCUGGCGAGGAUGUUGGAACGUAUGUGGGGUCACCGAAACUCAAUUACCCCCUUUGGACGCUAGUCUGGGCUGAUGUGCGGUGUUUUUCCUUUUCUCCGUGGCUUUUAGGCGUUGUAGUAUUGCCCUUGGGCCUUCGGCUCGUAUGGGUAGUCUUACAGGUAUGGGGUCACGCACCCCCCAACCAUGUAACACACACAUAUGCAUGUACAGACAGACAGACAGACAGACAGACAGGCAGAGAAACAAGCGCACACUCUCCCUAGGAAGUGGCACUGUCUACACUAUCCCCUCCCCCCUCCCCUCCCCCUCUCCUCCCCCCUUCCCUCCCCCCUCCCCUCCCCCCGCCCUCCCGAACCACUCACACAGCCCGAUGUUGUUGACGUCAAAGCGGUGAACCGGUUCGGCCAAAUACAGUUUGUAGGCGUUGGGACCGUUGAAGCAACUGCAAGGAUGAAAUACGACAGUGUGUUGUUGUCUGUGCAUGUGUAUGUUUUUGUCUAGGUGGGGGGUCCAGGGAGGGGGAAGGAAAGGAUUUCAAACGUGGUUAAAAGUUGCCAAAACAGGCAACCUGGCAUGUAUGGAUGUGUGCAUGUGUAGGAUGGGUAAGGGGGAACACAUCCACCCCCCCACCCAUCCCACACAGUCAAGAAAGCCACACACAGCCCGCCGUAGCAACAACAACAACCUCAACAACCCCCACCUCAACAACCUCAACAACCCCCACCUCAACAACCUCAACACCCACCUCAACAACCUCAACACCCACCUCAACAACCUCAACACCCACCCCCAACUCCACCUUCACCUCCACCUGCAACCCCAUACUCCCCAAGUAAGGCCCCACCUGUAAGCCCCGGCAUCAGUCGAUCCCAGGGGACAGGUGGGAUCAGUUGGCUGUUGGGAAGUGGCGGUUGACGCGGUUAAAGUGGUUAAGGCAGUUGAGGUGAUGCUUGAGGACGUUUCUGCUGGCUGCAGCAGCAUGGACGACCCGAGCUGUGUCGAGAAGCGCUGGAGUAGCCGCCCUGAAGACGAGGAGGGGGACGAGUCGCCCUGCGUGUGGAAGUACGCGUGUGCGUGUGUGUGUGUGUGUGUGUGUGUGUGUGUGUUUUGAAAGAUGGUGCGGGUCCGGGUGUGUGUGUGGGGGGGGGGAAAUGCGGGGAUGGGGUGGGGAACUGGGGGUGAGGGUACGUCGUGGGGCCUGUGUUUACACGUAUGUGUACGUGUGUAAGUGUAUGUGUAAGUGUAUGUGUAUGUGUAUGUGCCGGGGGAGUUAGAGGGGCCGUAGCGGGCGGGUAAGGGUGAAGUCGAGUAGCAACGAUUCAAGCCCACAUAGGACAUGGGUCGGUAGGUAUCUUCAACGUAACUCCACUUCCCCACCCUUCCACCUCCACCUCCCCCCCGCACACAAAGAUGGGAAAUAAACCGCUAAUGAGGAAAAGGGGAUCAGGACAAACCAUUAAAACCAACCCCGAACAGACUCCCAACCGCCAACCACCUCACCCGGAUCCAGAUGUCGCAGCCCUCGGUUUCAUCGCAACCGAAGCUCCCCCGCUGUUGCCAAUCCGGACAUAAGGCCCCUCCGUAGCCGGGAAUCGGGGAGUCGGCGGGUGGCAGCACCAGGACCCGGCGGCUGUAGGCGGACGGGUCGAAGCCAGGCCGGGUCUGCGGGGACCGUGUGUGUGUAUGGGUGCGUGUGUACGUAUGUACGUAUGUGUGUAUGUGGGAAGGAGGGAGAACUGGCUCUUCCCGACCUGUAACACAUGCGAGGGGCAUUACAAAACCGUCCGUACAUACAUACACGAAUUCUUGUUUGUUUCUUUUCCUCCCUUUUCGUUGGUGGUGUUUGGGGGGUUGUUUCAGAGAGCCUUUGACUUUGCCCUAGCUGAGACUUGUGGACCCACUCUAGCGGGACCUGAGAGCCCUUCGUGGUGUAUUCACUGCAGCGCCAUCCCCGGAUGGAGGGGGAGCGGAGUGGCUGCGUAGAGUGUUGGCAGUCUGAGUCGGGGUCGGGAGCACACAAGACUAACCGACUUGUGCUGUGUGCUCCCGACCCUUGCGCUGUGUUUCGGCUUCGGCCCCCGGCUCUCGCGGCCCACAGUGUAAUCUAAGUCAUACACGGGUUCAAUAUUCCACACAUUCCGGGUUCAAAUCCGCCUGCCCACCCCUCGGUGUGAGGGGUGUUGACUUGGGAGGUGGCCCCCCAUCUUGUGGACGGUGUGGGACGUGAUUAUAACAACUUGCGAGUUGACCAGGAACUAAGUUGUGGCGCCGUUGGUCCGCUAGAUUUGGUUGGAUGCUGGUGGUGAGUUGCCGAACCCAACGAAUACAUUCUGAAAUCGGAUGGGGUGAAUGGAUUAGGGUGCCCCUCUCGCAGGGGAGAGCAGGGAACUGCCUCCAAGGGAAAGGGGGCCGCUGGUGAAGCUAUACCACCCUGUAACAUCAUACAUACAUACACACAGCACGAGGUAUAAAUGCGGCUUCCGCAUCUUAAGGCUUCCACAUGCCGGGCUUACAUACACAUACACCCACAUACACCCACAUACACACACAUACACACGCACACAUACACACACAUACACACGCACACAUACGCACACAUACACACACAUACACACAUACACACAUACACACAUACACACGCACACAUACACACACAUACACACAUACACACGCACACAUACACACACAUACACACGCAUACAUACACACACAUACACACCCACACCCACAUACACACAUACACACGCACACAUACACACACACAUACACACGCACACACACACACAAAACAGACGUGCAGACAGGCGAAACCCUAGAACCCUCCAAGCCCACCCCAUUCAACUGAAACCCACCUGCCGGGUGAACUGUACGGCAUACUCCAUCCAGCCAAACAGCUCGUCCAUGCCGCAGGCGCCGGAGAUACCGGCUGAACCCGGGCUCGCGUCCCAUUUGGCGCCGUUGGGCCUCGUGCCGCUGCACGGCAGACUUAGGUUGAGGACGAGUGUGUUUGAGCGCUUGAGUGCGAUAUUGCCGUACGAACACUCAGAUAGCAGGCGGUUUAGGGCCAAGGGAGGCGCGACGGGGUUCUUGGCGGCGGGCGGUCGGAGGGCGGCGCCGGCGGGGGCCCCGAAGAGCACCUCCGAUACCCUCUGCCGGGGGGAGGGGGAGUUGGGGGGAGGGGGAGUUGGGGGGAGGGGGAGCUGGGGGGAGGGGGAGGAAGGUGACGUCCGCCGGUCUUCCCGUUGGAUUCCCGGUGGGGCUGCCAGUCCUCGCCCCACACGUGGUUAGAGGGACAAGGAUUCCCCCCGACCCCCCCAUACACAUACAUACAUACAUACAUACAUACAUACAUACAUACAUACAUACAUACAUACAUACAUACAUACAUACAUACAUACACACAUACAUACACAUACAUACAUACAUGCGUGCACAAGCACUCAUACGCACUCACACAUACGCACUUCAUAUGUACGGCACAUGCACGCCAGCCCUUACCUGUGCUGUCAUCGGGCUGGCCACGGGUGAGCCGCAGACGCUCGUGAUGACCCACACAGCCAUGCUGAGCCGCAGCGGGUUGGCCGUAUCGCCCGUGUAGUACACUGAGCUGGACGGGUACAGCGGGUAGUCGAUGUUGCUGUCCGGCACUCCUGACCAGGACCAGACGUACAACGUGCCCGGAGGGCCGCCAAACACCGCCGAGGGGUUGCUCGUACUGGCUACGAAACCAGACUUGUCUAGAUCCACGAUGAGUUCCACAGCAUCCCCUGAAUGUACGAAAUCACGACAUGGUUUGUACGACAUGUGCGAAGAGGUAUGUAGCUGCCGUACACAGACGUGGACCUUUCGCCCGCCAAUUUUCAACGUCAGACGACCUCCACGACGAUUGCUACUGCUACUGCUGCAAACAGUAACGGUAAUAUAACUACAGCUGUGUGUGUAUGCAUUGAUACAUCCCCGCCACCAAAUCCAAGGAUGUGCUCCCGGAGGUCCCCCUCCGUCGCAGCUAACCCCCUCCCCCCCUCCCCCACAGCAUUGCGCUGCCCGCGUUCUCCCCCCUCUCCCCCCGGCCCCAUCCCCCAAACCCCAAAACCCUAAAACCCCCUCUUCUCACCAGUCUUGAGCUCGGGGCCCGGCGGGACCACAUUGGGUCCGAAGACCAGACUGUACAGCACCCAUUCCUGUAAUGCAGGAUCGUACAGGUUGACGUGUCAGGGCCCGUUCACUUCAUGUUUUGAAUGAAGGCCUCUACUACACACAUAUAAACACACACACAACUUCCCUUCAGCAUUUCCUCAGUGCGUCUAAGAUCAAUGAGACACACAUAUUACGAUAUACACACAACACGACAAGGGCCUUUCUUCGCGCUUGGUCGGGUCUGAAUGGUCAUAUGAAAUGUUUCCACACAUUUUCGCAUUACUACUACUACUACUGUGAACUUGUUGAAUGAGAGUUUGAUCGCUACCUAUCAUCACCAUCACCAUCGCGCUCGUUCUCUGCGUCUUUAAUCGUAGAUUGAGUUCCCCUCGUGUGUGCCUGCCUGCCUGCGUUUUCCCCUUCAUAUCGAUUUAGGUCGUCGCAAUGGGUGUCGCUUCGCAUUUCGCCGCGGUGGGUGCACCGCUGGUCCCGGGCUACCAGCCAGUGCCAGGCCGGCGAGGUGGCGAUGAUGAUGAUGAUGAUGAUGGAAAGCUGCGGCCACACAACAUUGCAUAGAGAGCCGCGCAACUUAGCUCUUCUUCUUCUUCUUCUUCUUCUUCCUUCCCUCUUAAUUUUUCUUCUGUCUGUCGUUUAUUAUUACCAAUAUACUUAUACUACGUUUGUGACUCGCUUGUUGCUUGUUCAUUCUCCUUGAAACUUUAUGCGUCGCAGCUGCUUCGCCCGCCAGGCAGGCAGGCAGGCGCCGGCGCGGAUUUUCUCCUUCCGCGCAAUAACCCUCCCUUUUGCCCGUCCUCAUCUGGGCCUACCAUACCGGUACUCGUGUGCGAUUGGGCUCUUCUGAGGCGCAUAUGCAAAAUCAUGAGGUUUUGUUUUCUGUAUGUUGUGAGGUUUCGUAUGAGCAGGUUUGGAUGUCAUCCGGCUGAAACGUCAUGCGCUCGUCAGGGCCACUGCCCAGCUGAAAAGGGAAGAGAAGGUUUUUUUAGGGAAAGCACAAUUCCCAAAUAUCCUGACGAGGCGUACUCCCAGACAAGGCGAUUCUCAACUGACUAGGACCUUGCCUAACGAGGAAGUGCGCUGUUUCUGUACGGCAAGUGAUCAACUUCCAUCGCAUCCUAUUGAGGAAUUGGGAAUUAGGCUGAGCUGAGUCAGAUGAACGAAUCCCUUCAUCUACCUAGCUACCGGGAACUUCCCCUAACGGAAUCUCCGAACGAAUUAGGAGAUCCCCCAUCACUCUUAAAUCGUAAAAGACGAGAGUGCUAUUUAAAGUGAAAAAUGCUACGAAACAAAUGUCUGUGGGCGCAGAUGUUCCUCCAGCGAAAAGUUCCCAAAUCAAGAAAGGCCUUUAGGCAAGGAAUGGAUCCCCAAGUCGGAAAGUUCAUAAUGUAACACUAUAUACGAGACAGUCCUACAUGAAAAAGAUGAUUAUAUAAAAACCUCUCGGCCACACAUAAAGGCCUUGCAGAACGGAAGCACCGUUGAGUGCAUCAUAACGCCCCCGAACGCCAGCCAGCCGGCCGCACUUACCCCGUUGCUGUACUUACGAACAUGAUAGGAUGUACUGCCAACGAGCUGCUGUCCAUAGCGCGGCGCAUUCAGCACCACAAGUUUGGCUUGCGGGCACACGAGGGUGAGGGUUGCGGGGCACGGGCAAGCAGGGGGAUUUGCGGCUUGGGGAAGCACGGGAGGUGGCAGGGCCUGUAAACAGACGUAGGGAAAGCGGUUACAGAGGAGUAAGGGAUGAGCUGCAGUAAGGGGCCUCCCUUAUGGUUCGGAGAGAAGAAUGUUAGCAGCGGGACAAAGAAGCGGGCCCCGUGGAAAUGGAGGACCCGGCGUGCGGCAUAAUGGAAUGGAAAAAGGCCCCGGUCAUGGAUUGGCGAGAUUUGCGGGGUUCGGCGUCGAUGUAGAAGAGGCAUCGGAGCGAGGUAGAGCUUGAGCAACGCAUCCUGGGCACGAUAAGACACAUGGCGACAAAUCUUAAUGCUAUAUUGCUAAAGGACACUUGUUCAUGGCCGGCAAUUGUUGGAAACGGGUGAGGACGCUUGAAAGGUCGAACCGAUGGACAUGUUCCAAACUGGGCAACACGUUCCUGACUGACGAACGCCAUCGAGCCGGUUGCCAAUGCUUUACAGAAACAGGAAGAUGGGCGCUAUGAGAGCUAAGCAGUGGAUAGUAAAGCUGGAAUCAGGAUUGUGGAUUGUUCUGUUGCAGUUCACAGUGCCCUGCCCAGGCCCAGUUGCGUACCUUGAAACUGGUCAAUGCUGAUCGCGUCCAAAGGCAGAGUCAGCACCCAAAUUCCUAUGAGCUUAAUGCACAGAAUACGCCCCAAAAGGCUUUUUGGUAGCCAAGCGCUCGGGUUUCCCGCCAUUAUAGCACCUGCAGUGAUUGUAUUACUGACCGCUUUUUCUCCGUAGCAAAAAUCACUGGGAGCUUCAAAGUCAACUUAAAAUGUAUUCGCAGUACGUAAUUAUGAGAACACGACAUGAACGGAUCAAGUACAUCUCUGUCAAAAUAGUAACGACAGCCAGGACUUGCUUUCGGGAAUUGAGCUGAAGUUGGACCGAUGGGCUGUUUCCGGUUGCCUUCGCUCGUUCGUCAUGAUAGUCGGUACGAGAGAAAACCUUGGCAAGCCCUUGCUGCCUGGAAAGGCAGUCCCGCACCCCGUGCGCCGCAAACGCGCAAAGGUAGGAAAUACGUUGUACUUGCGAUUGCAGCGCUUUUCUCGUCGGCGACAUUUUCAUAAUAUGGCGUUCCGUAGCUUGGCAAUUUGCAAAGCGGGCGAACUGUAGCUUUGCGAAGUACACUUCCAACAUGCUGGGCAUCGACCGCUGCAAUCGCCGCAGCAAAACACGGCAAUCUCCAGCGUCCUUCCUAUCUUCGUGUUUCGAUGAGUAAGCUACAUGACCACCAGCUGCAACUGCCGGCUCUGUAGCAGUACAGUACGAGGAAGUGACAGCGAUAUCCGUCAUUUUGAUCAAACAGCAUGGAAAAUAUGAAACCAAAAAGUUAUGUUCCCAGACGGUUCCCAUCAUGAGCAAUCCUUCGGUCGCGCUAGGUUUCCGCGCUUUUACCGGUAGACCGAUAUCGUACAGCACAGGCGAUUGGGUUCAAUCUCGCGCCAUGCCGAGCUACCGACUCCCAACCCCAUGCCCAACCGAUUCCAAGAAAACUUUCAACCCUUCCAUCCAUCCGUCCAUCCUUCCGGCUCUCUGUGUGUUCCGUAUUUGUAGAAUUCUACAUCCCAACACAACGUUCUUCGUCAUUUGCAUCAGCAUCAACUAACUCAACGCAUCGCAACUGAUGGCACCCAACCACUCUCGCAAGUCCCCAUGCUCUACCACAGGAACCCCCAUGACCUUUUCAUCCUUCCGCCGCCCACCGCCUACAAGCGAGCGAGACCGCAGCCAACCCCCGCUCCCACCUAGCUCGGCACUCCCUCCCACUCCCUCCCACUCCCAACUACCUCGGCACCCACCCCCGCCCUCCCCCAGCACACGCACACGCACACGCGGGCUGCCCUCCGGCCAAACACACACACACACAACACCAGCUGAGGACCCCUUCAAACACAGACAACAGUACGCACAUACAUACAUACAUACAUACAUACAUACAUACAUACAUGCCUAUAUAGAUGCACACAUACAUGCAGACUCGUCAAACGGGCGUCAGAUGUCACGUGGCCGCUCCCCCAUGGAGCGUCCCCCUCACCGCACCCCAACUAACUAACUAACCAACCAAUAAACAGGGACAAAUGCGCACAUGCACAUGCACACGCAUACAGCCACGCCAAACACGACCUGCCAGCUGGUCUACCUGCCCCCCUACACGCCCGCCUGCCACCUGCCAAUCGUACUCCCGAAGCCACCUACCAGUACUCCCCAUCCUCCUCCUCCUCCUCCUCCACCCCUCCAAACCCAUCACGCUCUUCCCCCACCCACCCCACCCCCUCUCCGGGAAAAACCCCUCACCCACGGGGCUCACAGCGACCUCCGCGGUGUAUAAUACGUGUACAGAACAUUAUUUGGUGUCCGGCUGCAGGCCAGGCGCCGAAGCCAACGCCGGGGGCCCCGAAACCACCUUCCGCCACCUACCCCACCAUGAAGCCGACGCAGACCCUGUCUCCGCUGCUUUAGACUGCGUCUUUGAGCUGCUGGUCGUGGUGGUGGUGGUGCUGCUGCUGGUGCUGCUGGUGCUUGUGUUGGUGCUUGUGGUAUCGUUUUGGCCCCGGCUAUCGAGGCUGGGGCCUAGCUCCUUAUCGCGAAUAGCAGCACUACUGGUGGCGUCGUCGGCGGCUGCGGCUGAGGGCUGCGGCCUGGCCAACAGCGCCGCCCUGGCCAAUGACAGCGCUCUCCGUACGGCGGCGCCGACCGCGCCAUCGCCGUACGACGACUUCGGGACGUUCAGCUCGUCCAGCUCGUCUUCUAACUCGUCCUCGACCUCGUAAGAUCGGGAGUUGCUCAAUGCCUGGGAUUUUAACGAGGGUGGAAGGGGUUGGAAGGUUGCUGUUUGCAGUUGGCGGUUGAGGUUUCUCAUCGUCAUCAGCGAUUCCCGUCUACCCCAGCCAACCCCUGCUAUAGCAGCCUACAUUUAUGAUAUCAUCAUAAAUUAUCCAUAUAGCAGUUGGGUAAUGAGGCACCACCACCACGACGUCGACGACGACGACGAUGGCGGGCGAUUUUUGCGGCGUGCGUUGGCGGUUGAAGGACAGCAGCGCGAGGCAGACUAGACUAGCGCUGAAAUUGCGCUGAUCGCGCUAAAGCAUAAAGGAACUAGCUGCAUGAAGCGAUAAGGCAGGACUGCUACAACGAACAAAAAGAAAGAUACAUCAAGGAAAGAUAUAUCAACAGAGGGAUGUAGCUCCAUUACCUAAUACUCUGGCGGGCGAUCCGAGCCCUUUCCGGUCCGCAUGUACGACCAUUCGUUGAUUUUUUGUUCAGCUCUCAUCGCAACGGAGACGGGGGAAAAUUUCCUCUGUCGAAGAUAUUUCUCAGCCAGCAGAGUAAAAUUUACAUACAGGCGAAUUCAGUACUUUGUUUGAAGCCCUGUUUAGCGGGCCGUUCGCUUCCUAAGGGACUGCCAUUAUUAGGCGACCUUGGGUGAACCCCGCGUCUUCCCCAUAGGGAUUACCGGAGCCAAGGCUUGUCGCUAUAUGAACUGGAUGGGAGCGGCCCCGCCUAAGGGUGCGCGUCUCGAUUGGUUGGAGCACACUAAAGUGACCAUCCCCCAGCGACUACAUCAUGUGCUCAUGCGUUUUCGGUUAGACUGUUGGUUAAUAGGCCUAAGGGGCGUGAGCGCACCGCGCGUACCUGCAGGCUUUGUGACUGUGGAGCGGUUGAAGAUGAGUUGCAUGUUUUUGAUAAAUGCCCCGCUAACAAGAGCAUACUGGCGAAGUACGAUGGUGAGAUAGUCUUUAAGGGGCGCAGCAUGCGCACCAUUAUGACUGAGGCGCCGCCCCUGGCAUUGGCCAGGUACCUCUCAGAAAUUUGGGAGGCCAGGCAUGUCGCGCUGAGGCGCUUCACCCUGAAGCGAACGAAGGAGGAGGAGGAUGGCCUCCCGCGUACCCGCACUAAUACCAAUACAACGUCCAUGGCCCCCGCGGCUUUUACGGACACACCCGCACUUGUGUGCGGAACUUGUAACUUGCAACUUGUUACUUGUUACAAAACCACCACUACGACGCUUCCACACCUUUCCCCGUUCCCCUAAGACCAACCAACCAACCAACCAACCAAUUCCCCAACACCCUAAAAACACGUUAACCUUCCCAGCCGCCCAACUUCCCCCCCAAACUCCCACCUUGAGGAAAGGGCUCCGCAGCUCCCCCAGCACCCCCCCUCGCUGGUACGCCGCCAGGUCACCCACCGCAUACACACGGGGGUAGGAGGGCGGCUCUGGAGGGGCGGGGGCGGGGGCGGGGGACAAUCCCCCGGGCAAUCCCGAUGGCGGCGGUGGUGCCGCUGACAGUCCCGUACUUCCUCCCGCCGGCAGCGCCUGCUGCAGCUCUGGACCCAGAUCAACCGCCAACAACUUCCACACGUAACGACCCUGGGGGGAGGGGAGCGAUGGCGAAACGGGGCAUGUGGCUGGUAACGGUUGCCUUUACUUCUUUACGGCUUCGUUUUACUUUUCUUCCGCGCUCACUUUAGUUUUGGCGGCUAGGUAGGUAGGUUUCCGCGGUCAUCAUCAUUACCAUUAUCAGCCCUAGGUCGUCGCCUUCAAGAACGCCUACUGGUCAGUUCUGCUCCUUGGCAGCAGCUUCACUCGUUCGUGGCUCGUCAUUCCCCCCCUCUUCCCUCCCCCGCACCUGCUGCCUCUUGGCCUCCAGCGACACCAGCCCCUUGCGGUCGGGCCCCGACAGGGGGAACAUCAUCUGGAUGCGGCGGGAGCGGAGCUGAAGGGGGGGGGAGGGGGGGGAGGACGGGUUAAAGCAGGGAUUGCGGGCGGGGAAGGGGGAGGGAGGGGGGACGAUUCCUGAGACAGUACGGAAACGAGACGAGACGAAAAUGAGGUAGUAAGGAGAAAAAGCGAUGGAACAUGGGUGACGUGCCGCCGGAAGCGGAAGCGGGGAAGGGGAGAGGAGAGGAGAGAUCCGACAGCACUUGCACACACACGCGCACAUACACACACGCACGGCCUCACAUAUACGGCAAUACCUUGAUCCGAAAUUUCUUCGAAAGGUACAGUCCCCCUCCCGUUACCACGUAUGCUCGUACGGCACUACCCACUAGAGGAGCGCCCAUGACCUGUACGACAACCGGAAAGCGGAGUGAGGGGGCAAAAGGGAGGACGGCGGGGCAACGUACGACACACGACACAUGACCGUAGAAGAGUACAGAGACCCUGGAGGAAAGGGGCCAGGCGUGUGCGUGUGUGUGUGUGUGUGUGUGUGUGUGUCCCGGGUGGGCGGGCGGGAAAUCGUAAAGUAAAACCCUAAGAACCAAUGCUUACUUUCAGGCAGAUGUGAUGCCCCCCGGGGGGAGGCAGGAAGUGGCUCUAAAAGGGGCAAACAAGUUAGGGGCGUUGGGUCGAAUCCGAAAAGGAGAGGGAAGAACUCUUAGGCCCCCAGAUCAAAAUGAAUUGCAUGGCACGCAAAUGAACUGAGACAAGUAGGCGGAGGACUCAGCCCCAGAUCAGCUGGGUAUGCAAAAGUGCCCCAACAGGCCCCCUCCCCCCCCUCCCCCCCCCCUUUUUUCCGCCCCCAUGGGUACCUCAAGGACCCCCGGGUGGGUGUUUAGCUGGACCAUGGCUUUGCGGUAUACGGCAGCUGGAUCGAUUGCCGUACGCCAACGCAGAUACAGAGCGCCCAGCAGCACCGUACUGGCCGCCACCGCCUGAGGGCAACCACCCGCAGCCCGAGGAAAGGGGGAGUAAGCGGGGGAUGGGUUUCGUGUAUUUGCUGUGUUUUCUCUUCCUGCACGUUUUCGUGUGCGUCUGUAUGUGUGUGUGUUGUUCUUUUGUUGCUUGAGGGGGGGAACGCGCACCCGCGGCUGGACAUCGGGGUCGCAGAUUCAACAUUAGGUUUAUUGGUGGGCCGGAUAGGCACGCAGGCGAGCAGACAAACAUACAUACAUACAGACAGACACAGACAGACAGACAGAGGCAGGUAGACAGACAACCAAACAAGGUAGCGCCCCUGGCACCUCUCAGGCCCGUCAGCUCCAGCGGUCGGUACGUCAGCAUACACAUACGUAUAACCCGUGCCGUACGAGCACACGUACAGACGUACCAUGACGCCGUACUCCGCCAUCCGGUCGUUGACGGCGAUGAACGUAUUAGUCACACUCCGCAUGACGCGCCUGAGCGGCGGCGGCGGCGGCGGGGGCCCAUGUUGAACAAGGAAGACAUACAUACGCACAUACACACACGCAAAGCUACUCAAAAGUUGCUCGCGUGCGUGCAAUACCCUUUUCGACGUUUUCUUCUCUUUGAAAACCAGCUAGGCAGUUAUUAGCUAGACAUUUAAACCGUUUAACGCUUUUGCAGGUGCACAAGAUUUCCCCCUUUUCCCCCCUUUUUUCGCCUUACCCCCUUUUUUCCCAUCCGCACAUGGGCCCCCGCCGCGCCCCGGCCCCCACCCCACCCGCACGCACCAGAGAACAACCACAGCCGCCAGCGCCGUCGCCACGUACAUAGCGGUGCCGUACUUGUGCCAUGCCGCCGCUAGCUGCAGCCGCAAUGCAUCCCCCACGCGGCCCCUCAGAACUCCCCCCGCCCUCCCAGCGCUGCUGCUGCUGCUACUGCUGGUAGUUGUGGUGGUUGUAGUGGCGGCAGCCUGGUCCCCCCCAACCCCCCAGGAAGGUACCCGUAACGGGGGUUGGGGAGGUGGGCACCAGGCGGGCAGUAGAAAGCCGGGAGGGCAAGGGAGGGCAAGGGAGGGCAAGACAAGCAAGUUCAGCACUUAAGGAGGGGUUGGGGUAGUGGUGGUGGCUUCGGAAGAUCCGCGGGGGAGAAUGUCCGGAGGGGGAAGGGAGCCUGGCGGGCGAGAAGGAAGGAUAAUGGACAAGAGUGCACUCAGUGACCUCAUGAGAAUUCCAAACUUCGGAUGUGUGUGUCCCCCAAUCAACGGUAAGGGCAGGGAAGGGCAGGGAAGGGAAGGGCAGGGGGCGCCGCGCACCCAUACUCUGUCCGUUUGCUUGCAUGUCCGAGCCAAUCAACUGUUGUUGGGGCCCCCUUUUUUAAAAUGACGUAAACACGCCCAUGUGCACCUGCACAUCAUCCACGCAUACACACAUACAUACUUACAUACCUGCGUGGACAUUCGCCGUACUCUAUACGGCGGUCGUCUUGGCAAGCCUUGCAUCGCCGGGCCAAUAAGGCCCCGCCCUCGAUUCGCCAACGCAAAACCAUCAACACUGAAGCAGCGCCGGGCACCCGCCGCCGCCGCCCCCGCCGAUGCCGCCGCCGCCGCCGAUGCCGCCACGGCGGGGCUGGUCGCCAUCGCGGCAGAGCAACUGCUACAGCUUCCAAAGCUGCUCCGCAAGGGAAUGUGAUGUGGCUGUAGCGGCUGCAACAGCCGCCGCCGUACAGGACCCCAAAGCGUGCCACCGCCGCCGCCACCAACGCCGCCGAAGCUGAACAAGGAUUCGAUUUUGGAUUCUAAACCCAGCCUGAUGAUGGCGGCUGGGCUCGAUCCUGCGACGUUGGGCAAUAGCAAUAACGGUCUAGCAGCUUCGGAUCAAAGGCGAUUUGGGUUUCAACUUGGCAUUCACAUUCAAGCACCGGGAUGGGUAGGGUACAGCCCCAGGCGACCGUCACGGGUGUCAAAACUGUCCAAUUUGGGAUGUUCAAUCCCAACAUGACGGGAAGGCUUCCCACUCCGGGGGGCUGUCACGCAACCCGCAACGUGCUCAGUCUCUUAGUCCGCUAGGUCCCAGCAAUUCCCCGAGGGAAGCGGGGUCGAUGUCGGGGAAGGGGACAUGAUAUGCCUGAACGCGUGCACCUCUGCAACCGGCAGGGUUCCUUCCGUUCAGCAAAGGAUGUGUGGUGCCAAGUGCUAGGUUUGAAACGCAACCCAUGUGCGGGCGCAUGAAAGAGCUCAGAAGUCGGCGCGGAGGGAGAGAGAGUGGAGGAGAGAAGGCGUACCUGCUGCAGCGGCUGCAGCAGCUGUCGCGUUGCCGUGCGAAACAGCGACAGAGCCAGAUGAUGUGAAGGAAUGAUAUGGACGAGAUGGUUGCACAGCAGGUGUAGCGGCGUUGCUUGUGGCGGUGGUGGCAGUCGCCGUUAAAGCUCUAAUGGAACGUUUUUGUGUCGCGGAGCCCGCGCUCAGCACUGUGCAGCUGCGCAGGGUUCGGAGGAUUGCUGCGACGCCGCGGGUACCAUAACCAGGCAUCACAGCUGCUGUUGAGGACGCUAGGGCUGCUGACGCUGCGAGCGCGCACGUUGCUGAAUGCUGAUGUGUUGUGAACAGUCCCGUCAAGGUGCCAGAAGCCGGCGCUGGAUAUGGCGAUGACAUAUAGCUAUGAGUCGAGUUUUGGGCCAUUGCACCUUUUAUGGACUUAAGGGAAAAGGAUGAUACCGGUACCGAACUCCGCGCUGCUGUAAGCUAAAAAUCAGGCGUUGCCGAGUUGCAGACGCUUCAGUCUAAACAUGAGAAAGGCAUUUUGUGUAAUUAUGCGCAUGUACAAACGGUCUUCCGUCACAGUAAACUAAGCUGCGGAAAAUGGUAUUUGAGGUCGUUCUUCCAGGGUUGCAGUGCUCCGGCCUAACUCUCCCAGGUCGCGAUCCCCCGCAACAUUAAUGGGGUGAGCUGACUGCGACAGAUCAGCACGUUUGGCUAGGUACAGUACGGCGGUCGGUUAGUUCCGAAUGCUCUUAGGCCGAAAGCAUGCCUUUAAAGCAGCUCCCAUCCCUCCAUGAUUGUCUGCUUUUAUUGCAUGCCACGUGCGCGGCUUUCUGUUCAUGGGCCGUUUGCGUUUCGACAAGAGCUCUGGUUUUGGCAUGGGCCAAGGCUUUUCAGUCAUCUCAUAGCUCAAUGACUAUAUAUAGGUCGCGAGCAUGGCGACAUCCCUUAGUCAGGCAGAUGCAUGACCAGAGGCACGAACCUUGAACCUUGAUUUGGCAUUUCCCGCGUAAUUAACUCUCUUUCCCCUUGUUCCCCCUCGGCGUGCCUCACUCGACCCCAAAGCCGUUUGGUGGGUGUGUUGGGGUGUGUUGCCCUCCGGACAUUGCGACCGUCAGAGGAAAUGCCUCACGUAAGUGCACAGCGUUACGGCUUUCGUUUCGUGGGUCGUCAAUCCGAACUGUCUUACUGCUAUGGUGUAAAGCCUCUUUUCUGGGGAACCGGCUCUUGCACCACUACCACCCAAUCUCGUUUUCGGUAGCUUCCGGGCGGCAGAGGGGCAUCAGCUGAGGCAUUUUUGCGCCGACACCUCCCUCGGCCAACGCCUUUCGCUCCUGCUAUUACUGCCAUUAUUGCCUCUUAUGGCGCUACAUUUCUCUAAACAUGUCGUGUAGUUAUGGCGUCUGAUUCCUCGUUUGUUAUGUGGGCGUUAUACCUGGUGGGCGCAAGGCUGAUGAAGAUGGCCCGGUAAGGCACUUCGUUCACGUGGGAGCAUGGUGUCGAAGAACUGCAAGUACGGGCGAGUGACCGACUUAAGCUUAAUGACCAUCAAGAACACAUCAAGAAUAAAAGAAAGAUUUAGGAACGACGAGUCUUUGUCAAAGAGCCUCCGCAAAAGCUGUCGCUUCCUAACCCAAGUACAUCUCCAGCGUCGUGCUAACACAAAAGUGGACAAUGCGCCUAGACCCCAGACAACUGGAUGCCAUAUCGGCGUCUCACCGUAUGACCUCAUUGGUUUUUGAACAGAAGCGGUGCCAAGAGGCAAGGCGCGCACAACGACAUGUACGAAUACGUUCGUCCUGUCGUACAUCCCUAACACAUCCAUUUUCGCAUACCUGCUUGCGCUUCCAGCUGUCUGUCCGCACGCACCCUGAAGUCCUCUAUGCCUUAGAUUCCAAAUCCCUAGCACGACCACGAGCAUGCCGAUUGUGUACAAAAUGCGCAGUUCCGUCCCAAUGGGGUUCGAACCCACAUAAGCCCCCAUGGGGCAGACUGCGAGAGCCCGUCCUUGCACUAAAAUGCCGUUCCCCAUACAACCCAAGCAGUUUACUCGACCCCCACGCUAGGCUCUCCCCGCGUCCUGCGCUAUGUGUUUUUCCAACAUUGUAAGUCCCGCACGACUCCUGCCCUUUGCCUGGAUGAAUUUGUUAUUUAAACUGCUGAAUUGACCGCAUCCGAGCCGGAGAAAGUUGACAAAUACGGGGAAAAGCAACUAUGGAGGUGCGAGUGAAUUUGGGCAGUGUGGGAAUAAUUGACUGGGGGAAGCUCGGAAGGCAGGAAGCUGCGGUAGACAACGGUAUGUAUGUACGUAUGUAUGUAUGUACGACCCAUGAGACGGACGGAAAUAUGUACGACAAUACAAAUCUGCCUGCCUUGUGUGAACUAUAUCGUCGUGAUGACCACGGGGCCUGAGGGCAACCAGCCAAGGCGGAGUAGGGCACGGCAUGGGGAAACGGAGCGGAAAUGAGCAGGACGCGGCCACACGCAGGUCAGUCACAUCAAGGAAUAGGAAAGUUUCCACGUUAAGCGUCAGCGGUAGGAUGGCCUAGUCGCUGGUGCAGAACUGUUCACGGAGUCCGCUGCCUUUCGACGACUUGCGACUGGAAGACUGCUAUGCGCUGUAAAAAUCCCUGCGAACAACAAUGCUUUCACGCAAAUAGACUUUGUAAACUCAAUGAUCUCAACUACUACAACUGCGAUUAUGACGUGCCGAGGGCAAUGCGACCUUUCGUUAGGGGUUAGGAAAUCACCCUUGAUCAGUAUCACCCAUGCCGCGACAGCAUUACAAUACUUUCAGACUUCAACUCUUAGGAGUUGAUGCUGCAUUUUUAUGGGCUCUUCAAUGAUGCGAACGAUAGCGGGGAGAUAUGUUGCAAACGCCUUGCGCAGGAUCGGUGUGCGGUGCUGCGUAGCCCAGCCCAUUCUCACUGUUAAAUGGAUCCAAUUUGAAAAGACGAAUGCGGUGGAUGGCCAUCAAUCUCAUAUCAUGCGAGCUUGCGUCCGGCUUGCCGCACGCUACGAUUUCGAAAACUUUACAUUUCGAACUGAUUGUUUCCAAGUAGGCUGAGGAACUACACACAUAAGAACGUGUCUGAAUCUGCCAUAAGCUCCAUCCUGAAGCUCCCUAAAGCCCUGGUGGGUGGCAAGUCGGACAGUAUCCCAUCCGUUAUCGUCAUAACUGCUGCUCAACAAAUCUGCUUUUAAUAUUCAUAGAUUCGAGUCCGGAAAACGUCUUGAUCGUCACUCAGUGCCGAUCACUUUUUCUAACGACAGCCGUUGCAGCCAUUUGCAGCCGUUGCGCUGUGUAAGCUUCUAACUACCAGACCUCAGCAGCACCGAAGACCUUUUUGGAAGCGCUAAGGAAAGUUACGUCGUCUCUGCCGGGUUGCGUCCAGAACAUGAGUCGCACAAUGGCUUCGCACAUCGGUCAAAGGACGUCCACACCGGCCUUGCGCCCGGUUUCACUUCAACUGCCGCCGGCGCGCCGCAUCCUCUUCUCCUGCCCCUUCUCUGCCCUCACGAACGACGGGAGCGCGGCAGCCCGCCCUCUUCCUACCUCUCUUCUCCCUUUCAACCCUGCGAGCCGUUCACGUCUGGGUCGCGCCCGGCUCCGCAGUCGAUGUGCCAGCACUCCCAGCUCCACCACCACCACCACCGGGCCCCCUAGCAGGAAUACGCACAAGUCGGUGUUUCUCUUGCCGGGAUCAGCGGUGUCGUUGCCACUGCAGCGCCGUCAGCGUAUCGGCGACGCCGCGGGUAAAAGACAGGUCCUCGUCGUCACGGCCGCGGCAUCGGCGGCCGCAGCGCCGGACGGCGCCAGCGGCCGCGGCGACGGCGCCGUCGGCGCCACCACCACUGACACGACGGCUGCCGCCGCCGGCUCCAGCACGCCGCUGAGCCGCUUCCUAUCCAUCUUCCAGGUCUUCUCAGACGAGCGAUGUAACAGCAAAUUGCUGGCACUGGCCGUAGGUACGGUAUGAGGUUAGUUAGGAAAGUGGUUAGGGGGGACGAGACACGUGGGGAUGGGGCGGGUGUGAGGUCGGUGGCGGUGCGGGUGGGGAGGUGGGAGAUGGCAGGCAAGUAAUCAAGAGGAUGCAUGUUUAAGGUGUUUAGCCAUGUUGGGUUCCCACAUCCCCCUCUCCAUCCACAUGCCCGCUUCACGGCAGCCCUUUGACCCACUUGGGCAACACGGGCAGUUGGUACCGCGUGGCGUGUUUCGCAAGAUCUCUCCCCCCUUUCUCCCCUCCUCCGCCCCCCCCGCGCUCGCUCACAACCCCCCGUCNGCGCAUCUUACACCCGUACAUCCAACGCCUAACCCCCGNNNNNNNNNNNNNNNNNNNNNNNNNNNNNNNNNNNNNNNNNNNNNNNNNNNNNNNNNNNNNNNNNNNNNNNNNNNNNNNNNGUACAGCCGUACAGCCGUACAAUCGUAACCCCUUCCAAGUCCCAACUGGUUCAUCUCCUCACAGUCCUCUCGACAGGACACACACGGCCCCCCAUGCCCCGCCCCCAGGUGGUUGACUCCGUGGCUUUUUGCCGCGUAAUUCCCCCCCCCUUAUACACACACACCCUCCCCAGGUAGUUUCGGACUUUGGACGCCGUGGCAGAUCAUUUCGGAUUUCCUAUUUGCACAUGAUUUCCCCCCCCCCCCCGCCUUUUCCCCCCCCCCCCACUCUCUCGGUCAUAGAAGAGGAACCUAAACCUAAUUAUGUCGUAUCCUUUCCAUUCCUGUUUACGUACGAUGUGUGGUGGUUGUUUCCUUGCAGAUUGGUGCCGUACAGGGCGCUGCCCAGUUCCUGUGCCAGAUCAGCAAGGGUGUCAGUGGGGUGGUGGGGGACAUCCUCGGAUCGCAGGUGGGAGCGAGAUCCAAAUCCAGAUCCAGAUCCAGGGGGAGGUCAGGGAGGCAAGUAGGAGAUGUAGGGGGUUUCAAACUCGGUAGAAAAAGGGGCCCCAAGGCCGCCAAAGGCCGCGGAAAGGAAUGUGUGCCCCUUUGUCCGUCUGUUUGUCCGUCUGUCUGUCUGUACUGCUCUCUCCGUUAUUUGCCGUCGUGUGUAAUUGUUAGAGGGUGCUGUUGCCGGGGCGCCGGGAGGCCCGGGGGGGAGGGGGGAAAGCGCUCCGGGGCAAUCAGAUGCCUGUCUCCUUCCCUACCCUUAUCCUUAUCUUGCCUUGCCGUACAUUGCCGUAACAUUGCUUUUUUCACGUUUGUCCCGAACCCACCUCCUCACCGUCCUCUCCCCUCCCCACGGCCGCGUCGGAAUCCCGGUAUUCCCGUAAUCGGUAUUGGGUCUUUGACGACUCGUCCGCAGACCCGCGUGUUGGUGUUCGGCACGUUGCUGACGUUUGGCUGCAAGCCCAUGUUCGCGUUGCUGAGUACGGUGUACGGCAUCUUUGGCGUUACGGCGUGCCUUUACUGGUGGGUUUUCCCCCAGGGCAGAGUUAUCGAGGGGAACCCUGGGGCGGCGGGAAGUGAAGUACGGGGAAGAGGAAGGGGGAAGGGGGAGUCGUGUGUGUGUGUGGGGGGGGGGGGGGAGAAGGGGAGAAGGUGAGGAGCCGCCCUCCCCCCCACUUUAUCUCCGUAUAUCGUUUCCAUUUUCAGUCCCGCUUUUUCCUCUGGAGGCGCACAUCACCUUGUUCCUUGUUCCAUCAUUUAUACUUUAAUACCUUGAUACCUCAAUAACCCAGUUACGGCUCUCUCACAGCUCUCUAAGUUUAUGGUUUGUGUGCUAUGCCAAGUCAUCCUCGAUUUUACCUCUUAAGAAAUGAAUCACUGUUGGAGUCACAACUCUCUCACAACUCUCUCACAACUCUUUUCAGCUUCCCCACCCCCCCAAGCCCCCCGCCUAAGGAUCCCCCCCAAGCAUACCCCAACGCGGCCCCCUCUCCUAGGCCUAAAUGUGCGUCAUUUCCACGUCCACAGGUUCUUCAUGGCCAAGUUGUUCGACCGGCUGUCCAAGGGCAUUCGGGAGGCGCCCACCAAGGCCGUGAUGAACGAGCUGGCGAAGGAGAGCGGUGACGCACCGGAUGCAGCAUACGGUGAGCACGUAGUACGGCAGUACGACACAUACACACACGUGGAUUUCCCCCACACGCACACGAAGAGAGAUACACGCGCACAUACACAUGGAAAAAAUACAAAAUAGAAUACACACGCACGGGGUCAAACGAAUAUACGUGCAUGCAUGCAUACAUACACACAUACACACAUACACAUAUAAUACAUACAUACAUACAUACAUACAUACAUACAUACAUACAUACAUAGCGAUACGUCCUGUCGUGUCCUGUCCUGCAGGUCUACGGCAGUCUCUGGCCACGGCGGGAAUGUUGAUCGGCUCUACGGUGGCCUCCCUCACCUUCAGCGCCACUGGCAACAACUACAUCCUGACCUUCACAGUCGCCGCCAUCCCCCCCGCCCUGGCGUUGCUGUGGCUGGGGGCGGUGAGUUUGGCGGGAAUUGGACGGAUGGGCAUGGAUGGAUUGCGUGUAGAAUUGUGUGCAAGGGUUGUGUGUAUAUGUAUGCGUAUGUGGGCGCUUACGUGCGCGUUAGAGAGGACGGAGCUCCGUGUAUGUAUGUGUUUGUAUGUGUGAGGGGGGGGGGACGGAAAGGGAACGGGAGUCUAGAGGCACAUAACGCACCGCAAUAGGGCCACACACCCAACCACCUACACACCCGUGCACCUCCGCCCGUGCGGGGCCCCCGCCCCCCCCCCCCCCCCACACACACACACACGCCCGCCCGCCACAGAACUUCCGGGAGGAGAUUUUCGGGACCCCCAAGACGGCUGUCCCCGCAGUUGUCGUACAACCCGUCGUACCGCCAUCGCCAACCGCCACCACCACCUCCAUCGACGGCCUGUCAGCAUCGCCAACGGCUUCCGUGAACAUCCUGUCAAUGUCCGUCGAUGUGCCGUACGAUAAGGCAGCCGCGGGUGUUACGCCAGCGAUACCGGCGGCGCCGGCAGCGGCAGCGGCGGAAGCCGCAGUUUCCGAGCCCGUACUGAGCCCCCUUGAGAAAGGACUGACGAUCCUGAGGGCUUUCAAGCCCGUGUAUUGGCAGGUUAGUUGUGGUUAGUUGGUGGUUCUGUUUAGUUGGUUGGUUGGUUGUGGUGAGAUGGCUCGUGCCAUGAAGGGUGAAUGGGUGAUAGAAGUGGAGGGCGAUGGCGAGCUAGAGGGUACUUGGACCUGUGUGUGUAUUUGGCGAAUGGAUGGGCGAUGACAGCGUAUCUGUCACCUCGCCCCCUCACCCACCCCUUCAUUCCCCCGGCCCCCCCAAAACACACACACACACAGGCUCUGGCGGUGGUAGCAGUGCUCUACUUCGCGCGAUUCGACGCGUCCUUCCUGAGCAUCCGGGCGAAGGCGGUGAGUGAGCCACUUGGGAGCGGGGGAAGGGGGGGAAGAAGGGGGGAAGAAGGGGGGAGCAGGUGGGGCGGAGGGGGGCGGAAGGGGCCGAGCCGGUGAGGGGGAAGGAAGGGCCCGUGUCAGGAAACAAAACCCCAAGCGACGUUAAACAGUGACUAGGCAUCCGAACGAGCCCGACGUGAUAGGAGAGAUGUCGGGAGCCCGUGGUUUAUUGUGGCCCCCUUUACAUGCGAAACGGUCACGUUACGCAGGUAUACAUGCAUACAUACAUAUAUAGAUAUAGAUUGAUACAUACAUACAUAUAUACAUACAUACGUACAUACAUACACCUCGGCCGCAUGCUUACACAACCCUUUCCGGUCCUCCAUGACGGCCAUUGUCGCCGCUGACACACAUCGGCGCUCCGGCGGCAAACCCCUUGUGUCACACCUUAUUAGGUGAUGUCCAAGACGUUGCUACCCAUGAUGACGUUGGUCAACACGCUCAUCCAGGUCUGUUAGGGGAUGUGGGCUGGGUGGGGUUGCGGGGUUUCGGAGCCUGUGAGUUAGCGUGUACGGAUACGUCCCGAUGAGGAAUUUAGGGAGGCUUAAAAUUUCAAGACCUAAAUAAAUGAAACGAAAAGAAACACGACUCGAAAAUGAAAGCCGUUAUGGAACCGAUUUGAAAAUGUAUUUAAAUUCAAAAGUUACGGAGUUUUCCCGCCCGGUCUGUUAGACCGAAGAUGUCAGCUGUGUGUGCGGAGAGGCGAUUUCGUUAGCUUGGGGAUUUUGUUAACCGUUGCAACUGUCCAUUACCUGCCUGUUGCUCGUCCUCCUCCCCACCCCAACCCCAGAUGUUGCUAACCGCCCCCCUGGCCCGCCUUUCCGGGGAGUCGGUUGCCAACCGUAACCGCCUUCUGUUAGUUGGCUUCGCAUGCAUGGUGAUCGCGGAUGCGUGCUUCGCAGCGCCUUUGACGGCAAAUCCGGCUGGUAAGUACCUACCAACGGUUGGCCUGCCAACUGCCGCACAUACAAAACACAUACACGCAUACACGUGGACAUACACAUACACAUCGAAACCCGUGCCCGCCCGCACUCUGCCCCUGCUCAACCCCCCUCCUCCCCGAGGUCGCCGGCGGUCUUUUCCUUUCCCUUGGCCUUUCCUUUCCUUUCCUUUUCCAUCCGUGUUGCGCCACCACGAAAAGACGCUUCCGUCCCGUCCCCUAUCCUGUUCCUUUGUGCCGUACAGGCAUGUUCAUCGGCUCCGCCUUCAUAGGGCUCCACAUGGCGAUGACACAUGCCAUCACCAUCUCCAUGGUUUCGUCGUACAUGCCUACGGGUGUACUGCCCGGCGUGGGCAAAUUGAGUGGUACGGCUGUGUCCUUCACAGACCUCCUGCUAGGUGAGUGUGAGAGUGAGAGUGUGUGUAUGUGUGUGUACACACAUACAUAUGUAUAUAUAUAUGUAUAUGUAUAUAUACAUAUAUAUGUAUAUAUGUAUAUGUAUAUAUAUGGACAGGGGUCCACACCUACCCCGGGUUUGCUGGCAGGUGGUAGGUGUGGCCCCCUGUCCUCUUUGACUUUUUCGGUCCAGCUUGCCCAACCUUCCUUAUUUUGUGGUUGUUGGUUGCAACAGCAAUGCCACACCACGUCGCCCGCCCACCUCGCCUGCUUUCGGCCUGUGAGCCCCUUGCGGUCCUUGCGUUCACUUGGCGUUCUCCCUCCCAGAGCGCCAAACUCGCAUCGCCGCCGUCUGCCGCGAUAUCACCCCAGCUUGCUACGCCCGGCGUGUUGCCUAAACAGGAUUCGUGCUGGCCGCCAGUAAUGCCGUGGCGGGCAUCCUCACGGACGCCACCCGAGCGGCCGGGUUAGGCAACGUGGGCUGCUUCCUUGGUAAGUGCUUUUCCCUUUGGUCUUGUUGAACUGUUCUUCUACGUCCCUUGGUUCGAUGGCCUGUUCCCCCUUCUGACGACAAAAAGACGUGUAAGGGUUUGCCGCUCCGCUUGGGGUUCAUUGUCGUACAAUCAUGUCAUCAAUGUGCCGCAGUGUGGUUGGGCGUUUCCCUAGGUGAAUGCAGCGGUCUAUGCAGCAUACAUUUAUCCACUUGCGCAUUCUCCCACCCCGUCCCCGUCCGCGCACAUUUCCUCUUCCCCUAGGCGGCGCUGGGGCGUGCGUCCUCUCUGGCUUGCUGUUGGUGCUGUUUGAGCGGUUUGGCGAUCUGGGUCGAGAUGAUCUCGUGGCGAAGAAGAAGAAGAAGAACAAGGUAAAAGAGGCGGCGGCGGUGGUGCUGCCGACGACAGUCGCGGAUCCGGCAGCCAAGGCCAAACCAGAGUGAGGAGGGUGAAAGAGCGGAAUGGAGGGGGGAAGGGGAUAUUGUUGCUGGGUUGCUGGAGCCUCUCGGCCUCUCCAGUGCCUCUCGUGAUUUUUUCAUGGGUGAUGGCGGUGGCGGUGGCGGUGAUUGGGGUUGUGUCGAUUAGGGCGAUGUUUAGGGUGGUACGGAGAGGUGGCUUCAUGGCCGAGGGAGGAAACGGUUGAUGGUGGUGACGCGAAGGAGGAGGAGGAGGAGAAGGAGGAGGACUUGUGGGGCUGGAUGGGAGCGUCGGCUUGGGACUCCUUUGAGGAAGGGUAGGGGCUUUUUUUACAAUUGAAGUUGCAGAUUUAAUGUUGCGUGAUUGUUGUUGGCCAUCAGCUGUUCUUUCUUUCUCGCGAAGUAAGAGUUGCUAACAGACUAAGCAUGCAUGCAUAAAUAAGAUAAAGACCGUCCUUGGAACUGUCAGCUAUCGAGAGGAGCGCAACGUCGCUCGAAGUCAUCGGAGUCCGCUCGUUUCAGAGGAGGGCUGAAGGGCAUUUGUUUCAUCCAUCCAGCUGGACACGACUGAUUCGCCGUGGGCCGGUGAUCCGAGAGGAGAGCGAUGCCGUGAUGCGGUGUUGACUAAUACGGCCGCUGAUAGGGGGCAUGACUGGGUAUGGAGCGGAAGUGUUUUGAGUUGGGAAGUAAGUGUUACAGAAGCGGGGCUGUUAGCUACUUUGUCCCGGUUGGGUCGGGAUGCUGGAUCGCGGUUGGUUGUCGGCGCUGAACGGGGUUCUAACCCUUGGCCGGGGUUUCGGAGCCUUACUUAAUACUUGCACCCUGAAAGAUGGUUUUGAUGACAAGCGCUUUGCUACGCCCCCUUUACAACGGAUCCCGGCAUGACGCAUUUCGGCCUGCCUUUCAUUUGCUGCGUGCCACACUUUAGCCACUACCAACCUGCCGCCUACUUGUCUGUUGUCUGUUGUCUGUUUGUCCUUUUGUCUGGAGCCGACGGACCAACGACGGUGUGUGCCCUGAGGAAAGCUUGUCUGGAAUUCUGGAAGAAAUAGAGGCAGGAAGAAAAAAAGUCGCCGGUGCGCUUGGGAACCCCAGGUGCGAUGGACGGAUGUACAGAUACACAGGGACAACGGUGUUGCAACGGCCCAUAGCUAGCUCGAAGCACAAUGACCCCAAAAGGUAACCAUCUCGGCUUACUUUGAAGUGUUGGUGCCAUGAUUUCGUCAUGUCUCACGUAGACACUGAACACACCACCCACACACGCAAUCAACUUGCCCUUCAGAGGAGGACAACGGGACGCGCUUGGUGUGCCUUUUGGUAGUUUUUUACGUGGAAAAGGGCUUCGGGGACGCUUUUAGAAUUGUUUUUUGGCCCUGCAAACGUUGUUUCGGUGUUGGUCGGCAGCUGCCCGCAGCACUAACCGCGUGUGCGUACUCCGGUGCGGCCUCUGGUUAGUGCUGUUGUAGUGCUGUUGUAAGUUGUGGAGGGUGUGCAGUAAUAUCCAGGUUGGCUGGUGUAGGCGGCGGAGGUGGCUAGCUAGCUGGCUGCCCGGCGGACGCGCACAGGGUGACGGACGGACAGGGCCAUUCCCCCUGGGGCAGGGCCCCCUCUCGGCGGUCCUGGAGGGACCCGCCAACGAAAAAGGCCGGCACCCUGAUCCGUCCUCUCUGUCGUCCCCUCCCCAUCCUUUUAUCUGUCAACUUGUUCGCUUGAUUAUGUAAACUUGAAUUGUGAGUUAUUGUGAGUUCCUUGUUCGUCUGUAUGUUUGUUUUGGGUGUGCCUUCUAUGAUGGAUGACCCCGGCUAUUCGGGGGGUUGAUUGUGUGGAAGCGAAAGAGAAGGGAGAGAGACGUGGGGUUGGUGUGCAAACGAUGGGGCCGUGGUCGCCUGCGGGGUUUUAUAACAACGACAGGAAAAAUGUCCGCUGACGAAACCCUGGCAGAACCCCUAUUCCUAUUCCUUCCCCCCUUUCACAGCCGAAGGCGUUCCCUGGCACAAUGGUACCUUCAGUACUGUCCUGCUGCUUGCCCCGUCCCUCCCCUUGCCCUACAAAGGGAUGCCGUUGUCGUUUCUUGCAUGCUGUCAUGUUUUCUCCAUAUGUUAAAGAUGAAUUGCUACCAAUUCCUGGUGAUAGCUGCCCUGCCUUGCCUUCCUCCCAGCUCAUGCUCCACAUGGUCCCGAAUGAGUUAGCCAGUACACCCUGCGCAGUGCAGGGCCCUGUCCAAACACCCAAAUGGCAAGGCCCCUUGAGGGCGAUGAGAACGGGGCAAGUCCUAGGUUUUUGGGGUGCAUCAUCUAUAGGGAUACUGUGCUUCCAUGACUGCAAUGUCAUAGGAUUCUGCCAUCUGACAAAACCAGGAUAUGCGCGGCGACGUUAUGUACUCGUGCCCGCUUCUUUAAUAGUCCGUAUUCGAGUGUAUGUGAUGGCGACCCGGCCGGUGGUGAUAGAGGAUGGAGGAAGAAGUGUGGGACUAUUGGAUGCAGAUGCUGUACAUGUUAUCACGCGUAGUCAAGUGGCAUCUCCCGCAGGCUUUCCCUUUGAGCCUGGGCUGCGCAGACGCGCUUGACUAGAAUCCUCAAAGCGGUCGCUCGCUGUGGCCGCACGAAAAUACCUGUAAGCAUGCUUUUUAGCUCAAGUCGGUUUCAAUGGGAGGAGACAUGCGCAGGUGACCUGGAUAGCUAUGAGCCCGCUAAUCCGGCAGGCAUCUUGAAAACUGUCUCAGGCGUACAAUAUAGCACGACGCGGACGCUGAAUAAAACACAUAAACAGGCAGCAUCGUGCGUGCGUUUGAGUACGCGGAAGGGCAACAGUGCGUUUAUUUACCCCACCAUCCAUAUUAAUGUACUGCUGGAAAGAAGUUGCAGUUUCCGACAGCAUGCACGCUGUAUGCUGGCUUGCAGCAGUGGCGUAAGAAGCAAGGAGCAGGAUAACCGUACCAAGCAACGAAUACCCCCUACUUCCUCAUAAACUAGUAAGACCAUUAUAUUGCCAGAGGCUACUUCCAAAUCGUUAACGGAGUUGGACAUGCACAGGUGCCGUACAAUAUUUCUUCAGUCUCCUUUGGACUCGUGUUCCCUCAGUUCGGGUGUUGUUCAACUUGGCAAUUUGUUGUUACCUUAGCGUUAUCUUCUCCAAAUUAAAUUUAGCUCCUAAGGUUGAGCAUUCCUUUCACGCCGUCGCGCUUGAUCGACACUUGUCCAGGGCGGCCUAUGCCGGCACGUUAAAUAGUUGCAGCAGUACUGGUGGCACAGCUGGCCGGGGAACGGCGCUGUCGGCGCGGCGCGGCUGCCUGUGCGCGCACCAACUUGCACAUUGAGGAGGGGGCGUUCAACGUGGCGCCAUGGCGCGCAGCACGUACGACGACUUUAUUAUCAAGGAGAAGAUCGGUAGUGGCAGCUACGGUGUCGUCUUCAAAGUGAUCCGCAAGGUCGACAAGCAUGUUUACGCGAUGAAGGAAAUCGACCUCCAAGGCAUGUCCCGCAAGGUGUGGCUUGGCCCCUGUUAUUCUAUCUACUUUGUGGCAAACCGGAGAUUAGUCCUUUUCUUGGAGAUGGACGCUUUACUUCGCUUCAUUCGCAUCUUUGCCAGGAGCAAGAAGAGUGCAUCCGGGAAACCCGCGUUCUGUCCUCUCUUGAUUCGGACUAUAUUAUCAGAUACUAUGACUCGUUUUUAGAGAAGGUACGCUCGCUGGAGUGGGGCCAUAGCUCGGGGCCGGCACCGAACAAAAGCUUUUGUGCAGGGCAAGCUCUACAUCAUUACAGAGUACGCGGCGAACGGCAAUUUGCACGACUACAUCAAAAAGCAGAAGUCUUGGUUGAAGGAGGAGUUGAUAUGGAAGCUGUAUAUCCAGGUCCGAUGGUGUGGGUUCGCGGUCCCCAUCCCCUGUUGGGCGGCUCAAACCGGUGUUUUCCCCCUGUAGAUUCUGCUGGGACUCAACCACAUGCACUCCAAGAAGAUUCUCCACCGUGACAUAAAGACUCUGAACGUGUUCCUCGACGAGGACGUGAACGUUAAGCUUGGAGACAUGGGCGUCGCAAAGGUCCGUGGCCGGCCAGUGCACACACCAACCUGUUUUCCCACAUAACCCUAACAUGUAUGGGUUGCCAACACGCAUGCAGAUUCUGAGCACGAACACAAACUUUGCGAAGACGAUAGUGGGCACCCCCUAUUACUUGUCUCCUGAGCUCUGCGAGGAUAAGCCGUACAACGAGAAAUCGGACGUUUGGGCACUGGGAGUGGUGUUGUACGAGUGCUGCACCCAGCGGCACCCCUUCGAUGCAGAUAACCAGGUUAGUGGUGCCUUGUCGUACGGCAUGUGGCACAGGAGUGCAAAGCAGGGCGUAAGGGGGAAUCCGCUUCCAACUGACCGCGAUGGCUCCCAUGAUGACACAGGGGGCGUUGAUACUUAAAAUCCUUCGGGGCAAGUUCCCGCCAGUUACAGGCUACUCACCGGACAUCUCGGAUCUGAUUAAGCGCUGCUUAACACAGGUGAAGUGACGCCCCGAGAAAACAUGCCGUUUCCUUCCAUCUUUACGGUUUUACAUAGAGUCUGAACACGAGCAUAUCUGAAAACGCAGAACGCGAACCGGCGACCAAACACCUUCAAGCUUCUGACUCUGCCCAGCAUCCGGCAAAAAGCGGAGGAGCUCGGGAUCUCGUUGCCGGACCAGGCCACGCUCGCACUCAUGGCGGAUCGAAAUGUCGCUGGAGGGCCUGGCAAGGUAUGGCGCUGGGAUUUUUUGUCGUAGAGAUUAGUUUGCGGUCGUUUCCCCUUUUGGGAUCUAUUUGUGAGCUGGGCGGACAUCUGUUUAGCCGACCUGAUAUCCCCGCCAGCAUUGACUCGUGAAACAUCUCGCGACUUGACCGUUGCAACAAACUAACCGAGAGGCAUUUUCCCAUGGUACCCUUGUGCAUGACCCACAGGCGCGGCCGAAGACUCCUCUAGGUGAAUUGGAUGGGGGACUCUAUAAUUCAUGGAGAAGCAUAACUGCAGUGGAUUUUGAAAGCUUGGACGCAGGGCCCUUGUUUCUGCCUCUGGAUAGUCGAAAGCGUAGCAGGGGAUAUAUAUUUGAAGGAAACCGCUUGCGCCUGGUCAGCGUAUCUUAGUGGAUACGAUGUGGUAAUGUGCAGCAGGUCGGCCAUUGCGUUCCGAUUGCGUCCAUGCAUGUAAGGUUAGCUCGUGACUAUGAGCGCCAAGUGCAGUCAAGUUUUUUCAGCGUUUGCACGUAUGGCGCAUGGACGCCUUACUGCACGGUUGCUCGGUUGGUAGCAUGUGAUAAUCGGCGGCAUUUUCUGCCGGCGCAGGAGACGGGGGAGUACCGGAGGCUGCUGUUGCCUCCGAACCAGGCGAUGCUCUCGCGUCCACCAUCCGCACAAGCGAGGCGGUAGGAACGCGGCCAGUGGACGUGACCGUCACGAAUGUGGAGCGCACGCCAGGGGAGGGUCAGCCGCUUGGGGCGGCGCCGGCGCCCGUCCAAGCCGCGUGGAGCGUAGAGGACACCAAGCCCAAAGCGCAGCGACCACCAGCCUGGGGCCUGGCGCAGCAAAUGGGUGAGCACGCGGACAGCAUGCCGGGUAGUGGAUAUUUGGUAAUUGAGGGAGAGACCGACGGUCUGCUGCGGCACUUAAAAGUGCCGCAAAGCACUUGCAGACUGCGUUGAGCAAAGCACACGGCGUUAAAGGAUAGGGUAGCUUACACUACAGGCAAAAUAUGUGUUGUGGAUGUCUGCCAACAUAACUGACGCGUUACAGAGAUACUAUCUGGCGGCAUAGUGUUAAUGGGGCUCUUAGUAACCUCCUUAGCACAUCUUUUCUGUGCCCCUCAGAGAAUCUCGACGUCGAGGAUGAAGGUGACGACGAAGAUGACAGCAAGAACCCCUACCUGAAUCCCGUUCAAGGGGAUCACGAGGAUGGGGAAGAGGACGAGGACGUAGAGGGUGAAGAGGACGAGGAGUAUUACGAGAAUGGGGACUAUGUGGAGGGUGAGGGCGAAGAGGGAGAUGCAGGGUGGGCGCCCGACCCCACCCGCAUCGCCCACAUGAGGAGCGCAAUGAUGAUUCAGCGCGCAGCUUGCCUGGACCUUGUUGGCGAGAAGGCAUUCAACGAGCUGUAAGUUCGAUAUUUGGACGAGGCUUGGGGAAUGGCCUGGAGGGAGGGGACUUCCCGGUGUGAGCAGGUUGCUUUCCCACAGACCGCCGGCACUCUUUGAGGCUGACUCUUGGCGUCGGGUUGUAGCUUGGUGGAUCUAGCACUUGACUGAGGAGGAAAGGUUGGACACAAUUAACCCUUCUCCUUGUAGAAGAGCCGUCCAUAUUCGUAAGUGCAAUGAUGUUGAUUUUCAUCAGGACAGGGCCGAACCACGAAGGCAUCUAGUUGCACGUUGCGUAUCGCUUGAACAUAGGCACUUUUACCCUUUUCCGUCGUCCAUGCUUUAUGCGGAGACACUGGCAAGUGCUUUGAGAGGUACGGAAUGCGCCUCCUGCUCCUCCCCCUGCACGUGAAAUAACGGUUUGCUUGUUCUUGCACGCCCCUGCUGCAGUUACGCGCUUUUGAAGAGCAACCAGGUGGAUGAGGCCAGCAUGACGGACCUUUCGAGGCUGGUGUUCAAGAUCAUUCCGUACGACAAGUCGGAAGUGAUCCAGAUGAUGUACAAGCUGUUGUACCUGGAGUCGCAGCUGGAGGGGCACUAGGAUGGUGGAGCCAACAGCAGCAGCGGAUUACAGCUGCAUGGCGCAGCAUUGACCGGCAGUAGCGGCGGGGGCGCGCGGCGUGGCAGCUUCCUGAGACCUGUGGGUACACAAGGAGCAAAUGAUGUGACCGGAAGCGUGGGACAGCUAGACUUUAUCCUGGCUGAGUAACUGCAUGUCACAGCUAAAGAUUGCCGUGCGCUGACAGGCGCACGGCCCCUGCGGUGCAGCGUGCCGGUCUUUGUAAUAAACGGCAGCAGCAGCAAGUACGUGUGGGUGGCGGAAAGGCCGCCGGCCGGGGUGUUUGCGGCAGCGGAGCGGUGGCAGCGAAGGAUUGAUGUAGUGCGCACGAGCGCCCGUUCCACACAUGCAAAGCGGCGGGAUGAUGAUAGUGCCAAGUCACGUCAACGUGCACGUCAAGCCCCGGCCCAGCGGUGUGCAGGCCAGGGGAAAAGGAUGUUCCCACAAGAAACAAUCGCUGGACCAGUGGGUGAGGAUAGCUUGUCGCCCGUUUCCCUGGCGCUGUUGGCGUUUGUUUAGAGAGGGCUGCUUGCUCAGGUCGAUAGGUUGAGCGGGGGCUGGCGAACCGCAACGAAGCUACGGCCCUUUCGCGCGCGUCAAUGGACUGGGGCUGGCUGCGUGCUGCUCAUGAUCAGGCACAUGCCCGUGCGUUUCCUCUACGAAAUCGGUACUGGUCCUUAUUCGGAAGUGCCCUGGAUGAUCUUGAGCAGUUUUCAGCCUACCUAAGGAAGUCUUGUGGGUUUCGUGACCUGCAUAUUAUGAUGUCCCUAAUGGCCAACUGCCGUUUUAGGUUUUCAGGGUUUGCUUUGGUUGUUGCCAAAGUUGGCAACGUGCAUAGAGGGGGCGUUCCUUGAGCGCGCUGCGCGCAUGACGAAUUCCAUGGCCCCUUGGCAGCGUAUAUAACUCCCAAUCUACGAGGCCCAGCCGACGAUGGACGCAAGGAUGACGUGUGUUCUCGUGCUCGCCGCUUGCAUGACGGCUGCCUGUUAUGUUCACCCCGCCACCACUGUUUAGUUGUUAUUCGCGCAUUCGUUCAGAGCAGGUCUUACCCAACUAGUAGGAGUCCUGCAGGACCGCGUGAGUGUGGCUUUGGUGGAUUGCGUGUAUUUUGAUUUGGGUCAGGGCUUGGAAAGAUGGCUAGAUUGGAUAAGGGUAUGCAUUCCGUACGAAAUACGGCAUCACGUGACGUCGCGUUGUACUCUGCCGUUAUUGCGAGACGGAGGCGCAGAAACCCUUGCGUUUUCCGGACCUGGCGCUCACGUACGAUUUGGUUUGUGCAGCAGGGCGUUGGGCAGGUAUGCGAUCCGGCGUUUGGGCCGGCCUAGGCACACAUAGGUGGAAAAACAGGGUAUAAAGGUCGGCGGGUGUAUGCUAGGCAAGACACGGUCGACCUCGAUCGGGGCCUGUGCGCAGGCACUGCGGCACUGGCAGGCUGAUGCUUGUCCUUGGAUGACCAACGAUGGUGGUCGUCGUUCCCGUGUUCAUGCUCCGCGUCCCGCUGGUUGGGAUUUUGCCUAAGGCAAAGCUUGAGACUUGGGCCUGGGGCUGCACGCGGGGGUGAUGGAUGCGAAUUGACUUCGUUCCUAGCUUCACAAAUCUUUUUCCUGGGCUGCAAAGGGUGCUGUGCAUCCAGGUACUAAGCCUUAUUCGCACAAUGGUUUGGAUUUGGAAUGCGCCCUGGUUUGGGGGUGCGUUGCAUACCCCAGAUCGCGCAUAUGCCUGCAAGGGACAAGCGAGACGAAGAGAUUUGCGAGGAGGGCUGGAGGAAGGGUGCUGGGCUUGCUUACAUUGCCCUUCUGUACGAGGCCACGAAACGGCGGUUUCUUAACAGUGGAUUGAUUAUGAGGACUGGCUGCGACUCGGAGGAGGAACGUCUGGAUGCCAUAACGACUGCCUUGACAACAGGUGUAUAUUCUUGGGGAUGUGUAAAAUUGGGGGCCCAACGACAGGCAGGAGCGUCCCACUGCCGCCAUGGAGGCCCUACCAUGACCUCACAGGCAUUGCUUUUGCCAGGGUUCUGUUAAAACGGAGCAAGAAAGGUAUAAACAUGAAAGCAAUCCGACAGAUACAGGUAAGCAAAAAACACAAAGAGUCCAUCAGCUCAGGGAUUAGGCGGCAUUCGUAGGGAUUAGGUGUUUUUGCGUAGUUGGAAGCCGCCGAAAAAGUCCCUGCUGAGGAUGCGCUUCAACAUGAGUGUCCGCGUGUUAGUAUCAAGUAGGAGGUAACACGUUCGCUGUUAUCUUGUGGAAUAUAUUUCGUAAGAUUAUUAGACAGGUCACCACAGGCAAGUUGCCUUUGGGCGACCGAUCCGAGACGGAUUAGUCGACGAGAGGACUUGGUGCUGGGAGACGGUGCAAAUGCUUCCACGCCACUCACCACUUUCCUUCCCCUUUGUAUCGCCUUGCACCGCCCCUUCUCGACACCAAGCAUGGUGGGCAACCUCACACUAUAUCAGAGAGUUUACAAGGCGUCCUCGCUGGAGCAGCGUGAAUAAUAGUGGAAACAGGGUUGGCCGCUCACAAAAAGCAGUUGGCGUACGGGGAGGAACCCAAAAUUUUUGGCACACGGGAGAUGCUGUCGUAACGGACUUCUUCACUUUUCCUAAAUCAUGGUCGCAUGUGCAUACCUUGAAGGAUAACCGUUGUGGGGAUGGAUGGAUAGUUACAACGCUUCACGAGCUUGUACAGUCCACACGAACCCUGUAACAAAGCUCGGCAGUUGGCGAAGCAGUUGCGAAGAUAUUUAUCCAACGAUAAAAGGUGGUAUUGAGAAAUACCGUAUGGUAUUGAAGGACUAUUCAUAGUUCUUGGAUGUACCGCUGGUACGAUAAACGUUAACCCGGUGAGCCAAGGGCCGCCUUAGCGGCGUUACAAACCCGGUGUGGGGCGACGCAUGUUGCUGGCCAGUACGGCCAGUACAUGCCACGUCUUGUCUUGUGCCAACGGUUAAGCUUAAGGUGGCUUGGGACAAAUGCUUAACCCUAAAUAAGGAAGCAACUGCAAAACAAAGAAGUCUGUUUGCUGUUGUCUUGUAGACUCACGGUUCCGUCCCUACUUUUGAUAUUUCCUUUUGGGAUGUGCGACGCACCAGCGUGCAAGCCCACAUCCAAGUCCGAUGGCUUUCCUUCGAGUAUCUUUGUGUCGGAUAAAGCUGAAGUCCACGAUGUGCCGGUGAGCGUCAUACGUCGUCCGCUCAUAUCUACCGUCGAUCGUGCAAAAGUGGAUGACUUCAAGCAAAAAAUACAGGUAUGCGCAUUCCAGGUACAAGGGCAUGGUUCGAAGGGACUUGGGCUUGGUUAGGUUGUGGCUUGGUCAUGGCAUGGUGGGAUGCGCCACCGGUAUUCCUUGAAUAAGGAAAGGUGCCGACUUACAUCUCUGAACAUCCUAAGGCUGACAUGGGAAAUCGUAGCUUGUGUUCAGCUUCUACGUUAUGAGGCUUGCGCUUAUGGACUUACUAACGUUUACUGUACGGAAACCAUCGUCGCACAGCCUUGAAGAGGACGCUCUUACGGCCGUCCAAACUGCAUACUCAGCAAGCUUCCGGCAAGGCAUUAUGCUGCAUAUCCUUGAGUAUGUGAACCUGAAAGCAUGCAUUCCGGCUCUGAGUCAUCCUUGGCACAGGAUGGCGUGGUGCUCACCCCAAUUGAGGUAGCCUGGGUGGAGAGACCGGAGGGCUCGUACUAUUUUGCAUUUGGAGGCUGCCACCGUUGGGCUGCCCACAUAGAGGUACGCGAUGCUCUUUGUCCUGCCUUACUGGCCUGGACAUCACAACCCACGUCACCCGACUCCCUUGUCGCGACCUGGGUCACAACCCAAGUGGCAAACUGGAGCAACCGCGACCUCGUGGGCCAGGAAAACAUUACAUGGGUUGAAAGGGAUGACGUCUGCGGGCAGUGCUAAUGCGAGCUAACUCUCUUGCGAUGUUUUCACAACACGGUACACACGUUGGGAUUGAGGUUUGCGAAGGACAAGGACGGUGUGUGGCCGCUAAGAGAAUUUUGUCAUAUUAAAUAAAUGAGUGAACGAGGGGAGGUAGGCUGUUACAGGGAAUCGUCAGUGGUAUUAUUGGCUUUGUGAUCUUUGACCUGGCUCGUUCUCCUAGGACCUGUUUACCACUUCUCCUGCACAAAUGACAACGUAUGUCUGUGUGUUUUACGCGCUUUCCCGUCACAUCCCGCUCUCCCCUAUUUCCCCUGCGGGUUGCCUGACGACAGCUCGGCAGUGCGACCAUCCCAGCUCGACUCAUUAAAGUGUCACCGGCAACCAUCAACACCUUCCUGGGAUCAUCAAGCCCGUUCCGGAGCCUAGGUUGAUGGGAUGGGAUGGAAAUGUGCCUACCGCCUGGGGAAGCCGGAAGACAACCUGAGAACCGAUGACCAUAGAAUCAAAAUCAAACCAUAAAAUCAAAAAAAAAAGAGGUUUGGUGGCGUCUCGCGGUUGAUGGGGUGACUAUGUUAGGAAAUUCCCAUCUUAGGAUGUCGAGCCCAACGAUAUGUGGUUGUGGAGGUUAUCCAAUAGGUUCAGUGGGAGGUGUAUCCCCUCGCUAUCAUCAUUUCUGGGCCUGUCCGGUGGCACAGGCAGUAGCAGAUCAACUUACUCUUUCAAUAGGAGUGCCAGUCUCAAGGGAGCAACUUUGGCUUAUCCAAGCCCCACAAUCAGUGCAACAAUGUGUUUGGGAUGUUGUGGCUCUUGCUGCGGUGUCAGCCAUGGAGCAUGGGAGACGUUAUAUGGCUGCAAACAUGAAAACCAACCCGGCACUGUUACCUGGCCCUUCCCUUACGGAAGAAGCAAUUUGUCGAGUUAUUGUUGACUUUUGGGGCCGCAUUCAGGGUUUCGCAGCUUUGGGAAUUCCACGGAAAGGUUGGGAUUCCGUUGGCGCACAUCACCCCUUCUUGAGAAUUAUAUCUGGCAAAUUGCUGUGCUCGCGAGAGCGGUUACCGAUGAUAGGUUAAUUAUCUGAGGUGAUAAUCUUUUGGUAUAUUAGUCUCUACUGCAGUGCACGGCCAGCUGGCCCGAUGGCUCUACUCUUCGGGAGUCUGGAGCCCACUGUAACAACACACACAUAGAAUCGAUCCCAAAUUGGAAACUAUGACAAACCCAUUCCGGAACUUAGGUUUUCCGAAACUUAGGUUGACUUGAUGACGUAUGCGAGGGAAUGACCAGUUCUGGAGGUAUUGGCCGUCGCUUAGGGCAGCAGCAGCAGCAGCAGUAUCUCCGUGCGACUCGCAACAUGAGUCCCUUUACCACGACGAAACUACGUUUUGAUGUUUUACAGUACUGUAUGGAAAAAAGGCCGUACUGUUCUGGCAUCUGGUGUUUGCAGGUGACGUAUGUUUGCGUGCGCUGUGUGCCGUAGCCGAUUUGGUGCGGCGCGGCGGUGUGGUGGUGCAGAUGUAAUUGGGGCGCAACUGCGUGUGUGUGCGUGUGUGUGUGUGUGUGUCUGUGUGUUAGAUAAGGAUUGCUUGCAUCAUCGAAUGUGUAUAUGUACACUUUAGCAUGUUCAUGCACAUACAGGUUGAGAACAUGCAGUUUGGGAGGGAGUAGUCCAUUUAAAUUGUGUUUAUUCCUGCCGCCAAGCUGAGAUGGAGGUUAGGUACGUACAGGACGAGGAAAAUGCGGUUGAUGGGGCGAACACAGCUUUGUCACCCCCGUGUUCGCUCUGCAUUAAUUUAGCGUAAAUGGCGUCUGUUGUUGUUGUUGUUGUUGUUAUUGUUGUGCGUGAGCAAAGGCUAUAUGCAUCUGACCGGGCCUGGCACUGGCCAGGGACUGCUGCCCACCCCCAACGGAAUGACCGCCUAAGCUCUCUCCCGCGGACGGAAGAGGGCCCGAGGGGCCUCUGCCCCCUCCUAAGCAGCCGAGAGCCGCAGGUCCGCUAGCUUCGCUCUCCUCUCCCGGAGGUGGGAGGCGUCGCACGCGCGCACGUUCUCACGAGUCAAGGCUCCGUCACGCGAGUUUGCGUUCACUGAGCCUGAAACACGAAACAAGACUCCCCUCUCCCUCCCCGGCCUGAUCCGGCCCUUGGGGGGGGGGAGAUCCACUAAGACAGAGGAAACCCGGAAGCCCUUUAUAGACCCUGCCCCUCCCUAUUAAGGCACGAGGCCCUAUUAGAAAUCUGGGUCUCUUACCCGUUGCGGGGGAUUCUCCGUUGCGGGGGCGCUAAACACCUCUCGAGCGCACGCGACGAGGGGCAGGCACGUGUGUGUGUGUGUGUGUGUGUGUGCCCCGAAACCGACAAGCAAAUGAUAGCUUGUGCGUGUGCAUACAACUAUGUACGAUAUGGUUGCGACCUCGCGAGCACAUUGGGUUGGUAGCCUAUGUAAAAAGGCGGUCUUCGGUCAUGUUCGACGGAUUUUCCCGCCACAAAGUAGUUUGCGAAUAGUUUGUACGUCACUUACUUGAUGUGCACAUGUGAGCAUGUUUUACCCUUACGCAACAAAUUCUGCACCUUAAUAUCGAGUUAUCACAAAGGUCGAGUUGUUACCGGUUCGAGAAGUCCGAUAUCAUGUCUCAUCACAUGAUAUAUACCACACUGCUUUUCAUUACCACUAAAGUCGAGACCCAGCGCUCCCUGCCGGUGCCCGAUGGUUUCCCCCUCGGCCUUCCUCGCACAGCUGCAGAUGCCCCCAGUCGCAGCACUCUGCACAACCGGGCAGCGUGUAUUCCCCCCCUCGGUCUUCCAUUUCCCGCCCAGUGCAAUCCGUACUUGCAUUUCACGGCACAUUCCCCCCUUCCCACCCCCACCAUCAUUUCCGUGAGGACAUCCCACGCAUAACGCACGCGAAGUGAACACCACAUACCUUCUCCGAAACCAAAACUCGCACUCCAGGAAAGACCUCCGCGCGGCUGCACCUCUCCUCACACACACAUGCACCGCCAUGCAUACGCCAUUGCGGACCGUUUGAAAACCAUCACCCCGCCCCAGCCUCGCCACGUCCAAAAAAAGUUUGUAGUAAACAGCGCCUUUCCAAAAUUGAGAACAUUAUCACUGUAGCGUAUCCCGGAGCAUUCCUUCCCUUAACAGUCUCCCCAAGUUUGGAGGACUUCCCAGCAUGCAAAACAAAACAGAUCAAAACAAAGCGAAGCGAAGCAAGCGCGCCCUCACGGCUCGUUUAAAACGUUUUGACCACGCGCCCCAAGAUCCUCAACCCACCACACCCCACGCCACGCGCCGGGGCGUUGGCAGUUGGCCCUUCGCUGCUUGCUUGUGUGUUUCGCACCCCACCCCACGCACCCACCGCACCCACCGUCUUAAUCGACCUUAAUUACUCCUCGACGUGCUUCUUGCUGCAGAAGAGCGAGCGAGCAGCUGUGGACAAUAUAUUUUACCCUUUCAAAAGCAAUUUUUUCCAUCGUUUUUACCAUCCUGUCGAUCUCUUUACACCCACAUCCAUAUUCAGAGUUUCCAGACAGACAACCAUUCACAUACGCGCACGUACACCGACAUACUCAAUCAAAACGCACCGACACGCAUCCACACCCACGCACCCUGUUGACCAACGCUGCUGCAGGGCCACCGGCUCCUAGCACACCCAGCCACCCAACCACCCGCGCAGCUAGUAAACCAUUCAAGCGGACGAUGAUGGGCGGGGGGGUGACGUGGCAGGUAGUGGAAACUGCUAAGGGCCGCCUACAGCCACACACAUACAUACACACAUACACACACACUACCCUUCGACACUUGGAAACAUGAAACCGGCUUCCCAACACCCACCAGCGCUGCCAGACAAUCGAAACAAGUAAGCAAAACAGGCAAACAAAUAAACAAGCAUCGUUUUGCUUUGAUGCCAUCAUCUGUGGUGUACAAGCGAACAGACAAAUACGCCGACGGAUCUAACAAAACACACAGAAUGGUGGAAAUGAGCGUUAUAGUCCCCAGGGCCGUUCACAGGUUUGGAUUCUUUUUCCGGGCCUUGUCUUCACCCUUUUUUAGCUUGCAGGCCCCGGCCCGAGCCUUCCCCCACUCUGCGGGUGCUUUGCUUUCUCACGCUCUACGUAUCUCUCCUCAUCCCACUUGCAUAUACCCCUAGGCGGGGACCCUCAUAUGGCCCGGUCGCAACUCCCUCCCCCCGAUUCCCCCCCGGCCACUAAUUGCUCGCGGCCACCAGGUUCACGCGGAUCACUGCGCCGCCGGGCUCCAUGGACACGCCCGCCUGCCGUACAUCGUUGUACCUGUCAGAUGUACGUGUCGCCGCGGGCCGGGUGCCGCCACAUACGGCCAGGGUGGGAUCAGUCGAGGCAUGGAAGGGAAUGGGAGUUGGGGAUUCGGGACUCGCAAAGACGCAACCAACCAACCAACCAACCAGCCAACUAGGCUCCCUAUCGGCUAUGUGUUUUUUCCCAGCCUUGCCUUCCUCUUAUGCGCUAUGCCCUCCCUCCCCUCCUCGUCUCCCACCUACCUGCAGCUUCCCUCCCUCCCUCGGCCCUUCCCCACCAGACCCCCACCUUGACAGCGUCUUCUGCAGACCCGUGAUCCAGUAGUUGAAGUGGUUGGGUCUCCGGUGCUUCUUAUACUUGACGAUGCGAGCCUGCGGGGCGAAGGGAAGACGGAUCGAGAGUGGGCCGGACGGGGCGGCCAGCAGCAAUAUACUUUACCAUACUCUCAGCGAUUUAAACCGCCUGCUAACCUCUUAUUUCUGCUUUACUGCUUGCUUGCGCUAGGGAGAAAAUAAUGAAAAAAGGACGAGAGAAAGGACGAGAGAAAGGACGAGAGAAAGGAAGGAAGGAAGAAUGGAACAAGAUGAUCUGAGCUGGGCUGCAGUAUGGGUGGAUGCGCAUGUUGCCUUUUCCUGUGCGGAGGAGCAGGGAGGUGGCGAAGGGAGGUGUGUGCCAAGGGGGGACCCCCACCACCACCUCAUCUGGGGCAGUGUGUGGUCCCAACCACCUCACCUGGAUGCUCUCCCCUACAACAUCCGCGUUGAUGACCACCUUGGUGUGUACGGAAACGGGAAACUGCCGAAGAGGGGGGGGGCGGUGGGGGGAGGGGGGUAUAGGGAUUAGAAAGUGAAGGUAGCCGGCGCUGGGGGGCCCUGUGCAGGUACAUGGUGACCUGGGAGUUAUCAAGCUGCCUGGCAUGUCACAUGCAGAACCCCAUACAUCCCCACAACACCCGUACAAACACACACAACACCCGUACACACACACACAACACCCGUACACACACACACACACAACACCCGUACACACACACAACACCCGUACACACACACAACACCCGUACACACGGCGCUGACCUCAACAUGGGCAAAAUGGCUGUUGAUCAGAUUCAGAGGUACGUGGAUACGGCCGUCGUACAGUCGAGGAUACUGAUGGUUACCUGCGACAGGCCGGCGGCAACACAGCAACGGACCGGCCACCGGUUGGGUACGCCGGGCAGGUGGAGUGAAAACACACCGCAAACAGCCCCCGGGGGGCAGGGGGGAAGGAGGGGGAAAGGAGGGGAGGCAUCGCCUUCUCGCACACCUCCUAGCAUCUCUCUGUGCUUGGAGGUCAGAAGGGGCUGGAAGAGGAGCCGAAGAGAUUGAGACCAAGCAGGGGGCUUUCAGCGAGGUGAAGGUGAAGGUGAAGGUGAAGAUGAAACACACACAAACACAUAAACACACACGUAUGCCGAGCUGGACCGCCAGCUCUGGGGCAACGGCUGCGGGGGUGCAUCCCUAUUAUGUCUGUCUGUCUGUCUGUCUGUCUGUCUGUCUGUCUAUCUUAUCUGUCUGUCUGUAUGCAUGUAUUUAUUAGUGCACCUAAAGAUGUGGCUACCUGACGAGGCGGCCCCCCUCGCCCCCGACACCCACCCGUCGCACUGCUCAAGGUGGUGGGCGGCUGCACGACGGGAGCGCCUCGGGGCAGACCCAACAGACCCAUGGGACUCCCCGCAGCGAAUAGCGUCUGUACAAAGAGGCAAACAGUUUACGGCGGGGUAUCAGUCACAGCUUCAGUGAAUAUCAAUAUAUCAAAUCAAUAAAUAUCAUUUUUUAUCAGCAGGUAUGUAAAACAGAAAGAGGGGGCCAAGAAACGCAAUGGCAGCACGUCUCAUGCUUUGUCAACGACGGCAGAUCUGUUGUCUUUACUUUAAGAAGGCGCGCGCGUAUUUCUUGCAGUUAGGAAAUCCGUUAGUGUUUGGGGGGGGGGGUUCCCAAGAUGCAACAAGCACGGCAGGAUGAACGCGUUAGGCUCCCCCCCGGUUUCUUUCUCCGUAUCUCGUCCUCGUCGUGCCAUAAGCAACGAUACGGUUUAAACUUUUCGAACGAGGAUAAGAAACUCCACAAAGGGAAGGGCUGCGGAGGCCCCACCAGGUGAUCGCAGUGCCGGAGGCUUUGGACAGGUGCUUAGACCGCAUCAGCAGGUCGGCGCCACCGGAAAGAGCAAAAGGGAAGGUGAACCUCCCUCCCUCCCUCCCUAGCCUGCGCCUCUCUUCACCCACCCACUCAACCACCCAUCCACCCAUAUAUAAACCCCUCCGCUCGCCCACCCAAACCAGAAACCCACGCCACACACACACACACACACACACACACACACACACACACCUGGAAAGCGUCCAUGCUCCACUGCCCGUUAGCGGCCGCCGCCGCCGCCAGCAGGUCCCCACUGAGGCCGCCUGGCCCCGCCGCCGCCAUCAUGCCAGGCGGCAGCAGCGCUGUCAGGGGGCCCAUGUGCCCAGCGGCAGCGGCCGCUGCUGCAGCCGCCGCAGCGGCAGCGGCCGCCGCCUGCUGGCCAUCCUGCUGCGAACCCGCCUGGCCACCGCCCUGCAUCAGCGGAAGCAGGAAGUUGGGCGGCACAGGUGCGCCCCCGCCCGGCGGUGCCGCCGCCAGAGCGAAAGGUAGGGCCCCGGCAGCGCCGGGAUGCGUACCAGCGGAUUGUUGUUGUUGCCCAUGAGCCGAUCCUGCCGCUGCUGUUGCUGCCGUACCGCUGGUGAGCGAGGCGAUGAUGGGUAAACCCGUGUGACCGUGUGCAGCGGCGCCGUAGUGCCCGUGCUGAGGCUGCAGCCCGGAGGGACCCACCAUCAAGCUGUGCAUCACAGCCAGCGCGUUGUCGACGGAGGCGGAGGUCGAGGAAGCGGCAGCCGCGGCAGCAGCGGCGUUGGCCGCUGCGGCGACGGAGCCGUCGCCGCCGCCGCCGCCGCCGCCAGGGGCCGACCCGCCGGCUGCGGCGACGGAGCCGUCAUCCGCUGCCGCCGCUGCCGGUGCUGCACCGUUCUGCUCGUCUGUCGGCUGGUGAGGAUGUUGGGAAGGCUGUUGCUGCUGCUGCUGAUGGGGAUGGGGAUGUUGCGGCUGUGGCUGUAGCAGCGUGUGUGGGUAGAGGUUGGCGUGGGACAGUAACACGUGUUGGAGCGGGCCGGGGGCCAGGGGUAACUGGCUCCAAGACAGGCCCUCCGGAGGCUGCUGCUGCUGCUGCUGCUGCUGCGACGGCUGUUGCGGCGGCGACUGUUCCUGCUGACUCUGCUCCUGAGCAGCAGCAGCCGCUACAGUGCCGUCGUCCUGAGGUGUUGUAUGCGCAUGCGACGCCGCCCGGACCCCACCGCCUUCCGCCGGGUCGGUAGCGGCACCGCCGACCUCGUCGCCGGCCGACGCCAGCGGCGCGUCGGCAGCCUGACCAGUGUCCUGCAGACCCAGCGCCGCGGUCAGGCUCCCAGCUUCAAGUGUAUCGUAGUUCGACUGGUGCUGCUGGUGCUGGUGCUGCUGGUGCUGCCCUUCUAGGUGCUGAUGUUGUUGGGGGCCCCCAGCCGUCGCCUCCGGACCUGCCGUACCCCCAACCGGACCCACCUCGCCGCCCGAACCGGCUUGGACGCCGUCGCCGUCGCCGGCAACGGCGCCGCCGCCCCCGCAUGAGGUGUCCGUCGGUGCCGUUGCUGCGGCCGCGGCGGCUUCGUCCGCCGCUGCAUCAACCGUCGGCUCUUGCUGCUGCUGCGACGGCGACGCCGCGUGUUGCUGCUGUACGGCAUGCGGUACACCCAUAGAAUGUGAUAACACGAGGGCGCCACCGCCGGCGGCACCUGGGCCGGCGGCAGCUCCGGAACCGCUUCCAAGGGCCGGUGCCGUACCUGCCCCGGCGCCGCCAAGCAUGGCUAGGAAGGUGUUGGGAUUGGCGGCGCCAGGCGCUGCCGCCGGUACGACUUGCAGCGGGCUGGGGCCGCCGGCGCCGCCGCCGUGAUGCAACAUACCCAGGCCCACCAUGGCCGCGUGCGGGGCCAUAAGCGGGUUGUGGCCGGUGGUGGCGGAUGCCGCAGCGGCGGCCGCUGCAGCCGCAGCUUGCAUGGCUAGUAAGGCGCUCAGCUGUUCAAACCCUGUCGUUGCGGCACUGCUGCCAUCUGGCUUCAUGAAGAAUCCUGGCAGGGGUCGGGGGGGGGAGGGGGUUGUGUGUGUGUGUGUGUGUGUGUGUGUGCGUGUGUGUGCGGGAGGGGGGUUGUACAUGGGAAGAGAGGGGGGCAAGGGAGUUGUGGCGGCCUGGCCCUGUGGCCCUGUUACAACUAAGAGCUAAGAGGAAGAACCCAACCCCACUCGAGGAGGAGCACGCGUGCACAGAAGCGCUCCCCUCGGUCAUCACACCGUGUGUGUGUGCGUGUAUGUGUGUGUGCGCGCGUGUGUGUGUGUGUGUUGUGUGUGUGGAGUGGCGGGGGGAGGAAGGGCAUUCUCGCAUUCCCCCACCUCACACCGCACACCCACCGCACACCCACCCACCUGUGUUGUAAGCGCCCGGCGGCAGCGCGGCCAGCAGCGCCGGGUGCGGUAGGCCGGGAAUGGCGCCCAUCCCUCCCGCGACCGCAUGGCCCAGCCCGGCAGGCUGUAGCUGUGAAGGCUGCAGCGCCGUGUGAUGAAUCGGGUGCUGCUGCGCCGCAUUGUGAUGGGUGUGGUGGUGGUGCGGCGGUUGCUGCUGCUGCUGUUGUUGCUGCUGCUGGUGCUGCGAAGACGAGGAGGCUGCCUGCUGGCCGGCGGCGUCGUCCCACACGCCGCUGGCCGAUAACAUGAUCUUGAGGCGGUUGUGGUCAACUAACUCCAGGCCCGUCAGUCGUACGUCCUGUGGAGGAAGGAGUUAACAGAAAAGUGGUUAAAACGGAGGAAGAACGUGUGGGUGAUGGUGAUGAGGGGGGGUAUAAUGGAAGUCAUAUGCAUCCAUUUUUGAAUAAAAAAAGAACUCAACUGCCGACGGCCUGGGAAAAUGUAUGUAUGUAUGCAUGGGUAUGUAUGCAUGCAUGGGUUGCGUAGAGGUUCGCGGCAGCGCCGUCUACCCCACCCCACCCCACAUCACAUCACUGCUGUGUCCUUGCUCAUCAUCACAAUUUUCCAGCAACCACAUUCAAAUCACAACAUUCAAAACACAAAAGGGUCACGCAACACGAAAACACAAAGAUAACGUCCCCUCCCUCCCAAAAAGGAACUCUCCCCGCGCCCGGACCUUGUAGUGCUUGAUUAGGCGCUGGUGCCCGGUGACCCAGUGGUUGCCCAGACCGUGGCGACGUGUCUUGUUUUGGCUACGUGCAAUUUUGACCUGCGCAGCAUGACGCGUGUCGCGGGCUGUCAGCUUCUACCGGCUGUUCCUUUCACCCACCACUACGAGGCGCGAGGUUAGCUGCCCAGGGUGGGGGUGGGGGUGGGGUGGGGGAGUGCGGGGGACUCCCAGUUUUUAGGGUUCUUUAGGAUUUCGGGGCGGCCGAGGAUUAAUCUCCCGAGGAAGCCAUCCGGACGCGAGGCACAGCAGGUCAGCGCCACCUUCGCUGUGUUUGCCGUACUGGACGAGCUGCGGCCUCAGCUCUUGCAUCAUCAUCAUCAUCAUCAACAACAUCAUCAACAUCAUCAAAAACAACAGCAACAGGAGGAGCGGCAAUGGCAACAACAACGGUGAAGAGAAUGGAAAAAUGCUCGCAAUUGAAAGAGGAAACGUAACGGCAGGAAAACAACAAUUCGCCGUCCUCUUAGCCCUCAUUCCCAAAACCUCUGCACGGGUUGCCUCCUCCAUUCCCUCCCCCCCUCCCUCCCUUCCCAGCUCCCAGCAGCUCACCACAAAGCCCUCGUUAAUCAUCUCCCCAUUCACGAUAAUGUCCGCGGGGAGCCGCAGCGGGAACUGCUGCUCUGCGAAGUUCUUGUGCACGAAGGGCAACGGCACGUAGAUGCGGCCGUCUGCCAGCUUCAUCCCCUCAUCGAACGUCACCUUCAUGGCGGGCUCGUAGAAGCGCCUGCACUGCGCGGGCGCGCGCUGCUGCUGCCGGUCACGUGGCUGUGGGGAAUGGGGAGGACGAGAGGGAGAGGGAGGAGCUUUAGAGGGGGAGGAGGAGGAGGAGGACAAAACACCGAGGAACCGGCAGCGUGUCUGUAUGUGUGUAUCUGCGUGUGUGGGUCUGUAUGUAUGUGUGUACGGGCGUGUGUGCAUGGAUAGGUAGGUAUGCUUCAACUUGAAGCACGCCCUGUUCGGAACACAAACCCCAAACAUCACUUCGGCCACUUAGGUUAUGUUGGGUGAGGGGGGGGGGUUUAUGACACUACCCCCAAUCUGAAAGGGUAGUUACCGAUACAUACAUACAUACAUACUUACACGCAGCUUGCCUCUCUCGCUCACCUCCUUUCGCCGCGUCUCGUCGUCGCUCAUGUCGUCAUCGUAGCCCUCAGAAUCCGCGCCCGCUCCGCCGCCGCGUCGUCGCCCGCCGCCCCCGCCGCGUCUCCUUCCCCCGCCCGCCACCCCAGCCACAGCAGCCAUCGCAGCAGCAGCGAAUGCGCCGGACUCGACGCCGAGUGCCCCGCCGCCGCCGCCGCCGCUGCCGCCACCGCUUCCAAGGCUCAUGGGCCCGCCUGGUGCCAUAAGCCCCUCCGCGGCGGCCGUCAUCGCCGCCAUGGCCGCGGCCAGCGGCUGCCCCCCGCCCGCCGUCGCCGCCAUCAGCAGCUCACUGAGCUGAGUGUGGCUGCUGCCCUGCGAAUUGCCCCCGCCCUGCGACAUUCCCAAGGACGCUGCAGUGGCCUCGUGGUUAGCUAAUGCCGCCUGAAUGAGCGAUGCCACCAUCAUCGGCUCGCCGGCAAGAGCCUCCAUGCCGGGCAGGGACAUGACGCUGCUGCCGCCGCUUGCGGCAGCGGCGCCGCCGCUAGGCAGUGGCGGUAAAGUCGCCGUCGCCUGAAGCGCUGGCGGCGGCGGCAAAUGAUGAUGGUGCGGAUGUUGAACCAGGUCGCCGGCGGCGGUGGAGCCUUGCGACGGCGGCGCCAGGGACACGGCGAGGCCCGACGGGGAGGACGUCGCGGCAGCGGUGGCGGCGGCGGCGCCGUGCUGCAUGGGGGCUCCAUCCUCGCCGCCGGCCGGAACGGCAAGGGACGCGUCGGGUAGCGGGGCGUGCAUGAGGCCACCUUGCAAUGAUGCGGAUUGGUGAGGAAGACCCGGCGCCGCUGCCGCCGAGUGAUGCUGGUGGUGGUUGUUGUCAAGGCUCGCCACGACCCCAGACAUGAGCGCCGCCAACUCUACGGCAGUAUCCAGCGACAGGCCGGGCAGUGCCAGCGGCGGCGGCGGCGUCGCAGCCGUCGCCGCUGGUUCCGGCGACACCGCACCUGGCACAGCCGCCGCCGCCGCUGCUGCUGCGGCAGCAGCAGCAGCGACCGCAGCAGCGUCGCCGCUAGACCCUGCUGCCAUGGCGGCCGACUGCGGCGGCGCCAGCGGCGCGGUCAAGCCGCUGGCGGGGGCGAAUGCCAUUCCAGCGCUACCAAGCCCGGCGGGCAGCAAGCCUGGCUGUAGCGUUGGCAGCAGCAGCGACGGGUCUCCCUGAAGGUGCGGCUGCAGCACUACAACCAGCGACUGCGGGGGCUGUAGCUGCUCCUCAGCUGUGAGAAGCUCCGCUCCGGAGCUGUCAAGCAUAGUACUAUCAGCGCCUCCGCCUCCGCCAGGCGCCUCCUCCAUCCGUUCCGCGGAGCCGUCGUCGCCGCCGUCGGCCAGCGCCGCCGGCUCGUGCCCCGGCCGCGAGCCGGAGGUCCCGCCGGGCUGCUGAGACGCCUGCCGCUGGGUCGCGAUGUGCGGCGGCAGCGGCCGCCGGGAGCGCGGCUUCGUGGGAAUGGGCCCCGCCGCCACCGCCACCUGCGCCAGCUGAGGGUGCUGCUGCUGCUGCGGCGGCGGCGGCUGUUGCAGCGGUUGGGGGGCCCCCACCGCUGAGCCGCCGCCUGCUGGCUGUGCUUGAGGUGGCGUUCCCAAGGGCGCGAAGGUCAGCGGCGUCGGCUGCACGUAAGCCCCGGUCGCUGCCGCCACCGCUUGGCGAGGAGACUCUGACCCACCGCCACUAACGGGUGCAGCAGCCGUAAGACUGGCAGACGCACCAGAGGAUGUGGCGGCCGGCGGGGCGCCGCCGCCGGUACUUCGUCCUGCCCGCCCGGACGCACCCGGCGAACUCGCCGAUACGGCUGCAGCAACAGGGUUGGCUCCGGAACCGCCGCUCGUUCCCAACCCCGCUGGGCCGCCGCCGGCGGUGGCCGUGCCGGUCCCGGCGCCAGCCAGCGGCGGCAGGCCCCGUACAGGUCCCGUGGCGGCGGCGGCGGCGGCAGGUCCGCCGUGAGCUGCCGCCGCCGAAGGGCCGCUGGAUACGGCUGUCCGGAGCCUGGGAGAUGCUGCGGCGGCAGCUAACGUGCCUCCCGCCACUGGAGCCGCCACCGCCGCUGGGAUGGCGGUCAGCUGCAGCUGAUCCCCACUUUCUAACGGAGCGAUGAGGACUGCCGUACUCCCUACGACGCCGACGCCGCUGCCGACGGGCUGCUCCACGUUGGCCUGAGCCAGCGCGGCCGCUGCCAGCACGUCCAGGUUUCGGAGCGGAUCGAACUGCAUUGCCGUUCAACGGGAGGAUAGUUUGGGAUGUCCAGGAAACACGAAACGGAAAACAGAGAAAUAUUGAUUUUGGAGCCGGAUUAACAAAAGAAGCUAUAAUAAGAAGCUACAAGCCUGGGAAAGGUCCCGCAGUAGCAGCAGCAGCGGCGGCAGCAGCACAUAUUAGCGUAGAAACACAUUCACAUACAUACACACAGACACUCUGCACGAUGUGGCGUGGGUGAAGACGCGGCUUUCGAAUGACGGCUUGGGGGCCCCUCGUACGGACCGGCAGACAGCCGGGCCUACGCUGGUUUAAUAGUGGACCUAGGACGGAACAUUUUCUUGAAUGGUUUCGGAGCGUGCCUGAAGAAAGUCAUACGUUUCCUUUUCGAUGCCGGUGGCCUCCUCACUGACUUGUCGCUGCAGCUGCUACUGCCGUCAUCGCCACGCGAUGCGCAUAAUUGCAAAGAGUGUAUCAGUAGCAUUGGAUAACAGCCAAUCCAUUAGGUUGGCCUCGUUGCUAUUGCGAUAAUGCCGCAGGUUGUUGGUUUCGGAGCGGCUGUUUGCCUUAUUUGGCUGUUUGCCUUAUCUGCUGCUGCGCAUGUCGCCCAAAAGUAGGUAAUUCGGGGUUGGGUUUAUAGAGUUGCAAUGGCAAUGCAUUGAACCAACAUGGCUUGGUCUGAACCAGCGACGCGUCUUCACCGCCGCAGGGCGACCCUAAAGACCUACCAAGUGAAACUGCCGCAGCAUUCGCGCACACAGCAAGUAAAACACUUAAUCCACAACCGGUACGAUAUUAAGCAAAAAUACAAUAGUUCCAGUAACCUGAUGUGCAUGGCGACGAAACUUACAUAUGAGCUGCAAAAAGCGCUCCGAAACCCGUAACAAAGCACGCACCAAGCGCGCAACGGCACUAAAUCCAAUCCCAAACUAGCAAAGAAAGCCCUCGACGCGAAACUCGCCAAUUGAGCUGAGGAAACAGAUGUGGGGUCUGCACCCUAAGACAUAUGGCGUUGCAAUGAACUCGUAUUUGUGCCCGGCACAGCUCGCAAUUAUGUGACACCAGUUCCGUACUCGGCCCAACCCCGGUCGCACCUGGGGAACAUCAGCAGAUGUCCCGUCGGAUUUCGCCUUUUUGCGUGGCGGUUGACUAUCCUUGCCUGCUCCGGAACCACCUUUACCCGGCUUUCCGCCCUUGUUGCGCUCGUCCGCGUCGUCGUCGUCGACAUCCUUACCUUUUUGCCGCGGCGCCCGUCCGCUCGAGCCUUGGUCCUUAGUUCCCUUCCCAGAACCUUGUUUGCCUUUGGUCGGUCGGUCUGAGGACCGUCGGGCAGCUGUUUCCUCGUUGUCGGUGUCCGUAUCUCCGGCAUCACUCCCCCCAUCGGCCAUGGCAACUGCGCCGGAUGCCGACUGCUGCGCAUAAGCAAGGGCCUGCUGCAGGUUUACGCCAUCCGGCAAAACUGCUCCCUGUGCCAACAAGUGCUGCUGAAGCGCGCGGAGAACGUCUGGAGUGAGCUCCUGUGGAGUACUCAUGGUCUCCUAACGUCCUAUGGCUAAACUCGACAAAGAUCGGGAGGUAGCAAGGCGCUACGAUUUAAGACAGAACUUGGGACAGUUAACCGUAAGGAGAACGCAAAAGCCUUGCCAAAAGAGGUCAACGCAAAAAGCCCCUUCACAGGGCGCAUUUGGGGUGCCCAUGGGGCAACAUGUUAGAGUCUUUGCCUAGUGGAGUAUUGUACAUGUGAGAAAGCUUGCUAUUGGAAUGACCCGCUCCAUCAGCUCCGAUUCCUGGCUCCGAUAACCUGGCACUCGACAGCAGCCAUUCCCCCAGACGUGUAUCAAAGAUUGGUAGCUCUGAACUCUAUAAGAAAAGUUCUAUUUGUGGAGGUACUUAAGAAGACUUAUGGUGUAACCUCAUCCGAAGGGCCCUAGUAACGAUGGCAACGCACGGCGCGUUGUACUUUCAAUGCAAGCCUGAACAGAAGCUUACCGUGCGCGCUAAAAUUCAGAGGUACACCAGCUAGCACUCAGGUCCCGUGGUUUCGGCCUCUGAUAAAAGGUUCUGGCGACGUAGAACCCCUUGUUGCGUCCGUAUGCGGAACCAAGAACAAUGUAUUUUAUUACUAACCUUGAUUGGUUUACGAAGUAGACAUUAACCUUGCCUUCUCAUAGCAAAUUUUUGAAUUCCCCCAUCCCUUCCCGCCCUCCCUCCCCAGCCGCGCGUCUAUGAGCCCGCUGUCUUCCGGCACUUGGGCUGUUAGCAGCCGGCCCCACACGCAUCAGCUGUCCCGCCACCACGUGCCUUCAGGCCGUGCUCCUCUCCCCGUCACCUGCGCGAGCCGGCCAUCGUCCUCCCCCACUGCUGGCACUUCCACAACCCCGGCCUCCGCACGCUUCCUACGAACCCCCGCGGGCCCAUCCACCCUCCAUCCCACCACACGGACCCAGAUAACUACCGCCGAAGCCGCCACCACCUUUAUCAAUCGACGCGCCUGCUUUUGCUGUACGGCGUACGGCAGAGGUACGGCCGCUAGUGUAUGGUCUGGAUUUCGCUCUUGCGCCGCAACGAGUGUGUUUGUUUCUUUGCUUAUUAGCGCCUCCUGCCCCUGCUUCUUAUCCUCUAGUUUUUCCUUCACCAAAUUUAUUAUCACUCAUCCAUCCCCCCAUUCACCCUUGGAAAACCACGUUCCACGUGGCGACACAGGUGGCAGCGGUGGCGGUGGUGGCGGUGGCGGAUCUGAGCUGAACUACUACGAGUUGUUGGGUGUAGAGCCGGAUUGCGACGAGGAGGACAUCAGGGUGAGAGGCCGUACGGAACAAGAUUUAAAUAACAAAUUUUAGAUCUGGAUGUUUCGGAUUUGGAUCCGCCUUCCUCUCUGGCCCCUCCAUUCCCCUCCUCUCCUCCUUCCCCAGUUUCGCACACACACACACACACACACAUACACACACACAUAUAUAUAUAUAUAUUAUACAUAUUGUCGUCGUUACUGCCUCUCCCUCAGCGCCCUAGAGACCCUAAAACCACCUUAGGGGUGUAGAAGCUCUAAACCCUAAGUUAACUCGCAGACCUCCCCGCUGGGGGCCGCAGCUGCACCAACACCCCACAUAACUCAAACCCACCUCAUGACACGCACCUGACACGCUGUAAACACACACACACACGCACACCGACAUACAUACAUACACACAUACAUACAUACACACACAGGCAGGCGGCUGGCAGAGGUUCAGGCCUGACUUCUGCUCCCGGCCGACCCGGGUUCAAAUCCGCCUGCCGGCUCCUCGGGUGUUUGAGGAUUGUUGAAAUGGGAGGUGGCCCCCCAUCAUAUGGACGGUGUAGGACGUGAUAAAAUCAACUUGCGAGCUGACCAGGAACUAAGUUGAUGCGCCGUUGAUCCGCUAGACUUGGUUGGAUGCUGGUGGUGAGUUGCCGAACCCAACGAAUACAUUCUGAAGUCGGAUGGGGUGACGGAUUAGGGCGCCCCUCUAGCAGGGGAGAGCAGGGACUGCCCCGGGAAAGGGGGCCGCUGGCGAAGUUAACCACCCUGUAACAACAUACAUACACACACACAAGGCGCAACCCCGUGUCGUCCCCCUCCCCCCUCCACCACCUCGUACCUCGCACGCACCUACGGCACAGGCGGCUUUCCGGCGGAAGGCCAAAGAGGUUCAUCCGGACGUCAACAAGGAGGUGUGUGUGUGUGUGUCUGUGUGUGUUUUUGGGGGCCGGGAGGGGGGAGUGGAGGGGGGGAGGGGGUUUCCCCGGGUUUAGCGGGAGAUGUGAAAUGUCAGGGGCCUCUCCCUCACCCCCAACCUCUUUCCCAACUUGUUUUCAAAGGAGCCGUACACAUCGUGUGAAUGUGGGUAACAGAGGCUGUGCUUUAGGAACGCAUGCACGCACAUAAAACGCAAGCACACGCGGACAUGUCUUCCCGUCUUUGCCGCCCACCCAUCCUUUCCUUCCGCAUCGCCACUCCCCAAAAACUUAACUAACUACCACAACUACCACAACGAACCAAACCGUCGGACACGUGGGGGACGACACGCGCGGAGAGAGCAGGAGGGAGCGACUGAAGCGUUCGUGCAGCUUAGCCGCGCGUACGAAGUCCUAUCGGACGCUGAGUCACGCCGUGAGUACGACAUCACGUACAGUACCCGUCGCCUCAACUUUUUCCGAGAUAUCAUCGAGGUGCGGUAUCGGCGGCGGCGGCGGGGGGGAGUGAAGGACCCUGAAGGACCCACUGCCCGGUGCUUUGCGCCGUACUGUGUACCGUACUUGUCGUAUCCACCUCCCCCCCUCCCGCAUGUUGAUGUUUCAGUAACUCCCCCUCGGCUCGCUUGGGACUCUCGACAACAGUUUGUGGCUUUGGCCGUCAGUAGACGGUUGGUUCCCACCACUUGACUUGGCUGGAUUUCUGCUGUCCCCGCCCCGCCCCUCCACUCUUCCCACCACCUCAAAGCCCAACACUAACUACCCCCACCCUCCACCCCGCAACAGUCGGUGUUUUGGACGUGAACUUUUUGUCUUUGCAAAGCUUAUAACUUAUAACAAAGUUUUUAAUCAGUCAAUUUUGAUGCCGAUUUAAAAACCAGCGGUCAAACUGAAUACCAAUAUCUAAUUCUAAAAGCCAAAAAAACAUAAAGUAAGAGUGAGAUACUUGGCUUAACCCUAUAGACCAUAUUUUCCAUUCAUAACUGACUGGCUUUAAAUUGAAUCUUACCUCUCAAACAAGCUCUUGAUAAACCCCCUACCCCUUCGUUGGGGGGGUCGUCACUGGUCAGUAAAUAUUCCCGAGGUAGCAGUCGUCUUCUUCCCCUGGACUAUCCGUCUAUCUCUUGUGUAUCUGCUUCAAUCGCGUGUGGUUCGUCUUUCCCCCUCACCUCACCUCACCUCCCCCUCACCUCACCUCACCUCACCUCACCUCACCUCACCUCCCCCUCACCUCACCUCACCUCCCCCUCACCUCCCGCGCAUCAGGAGGAUGAGGGGGGCAACGCCGCCUCCCGCCGCAGCCCCUUCCGCUGGUCCCAAGUGGGCUCCGAAACCCCCGCCGGCAGCCGGAGGGGGAGGGGAAGGGACAGCGGCCUGGGGGGUCGCGACGAUGUUGAUGACGAGGAGGAGGAGGAAGAGGAGGGCGAUGAUGAUGAGGGUUGGCAGCAGCAGCGUCGCGACCAGGAGCGGGUGCUGGAGGAGUUGGCCCGGUUUAUGUGAGGAUGGGUGGGUGUGGCGGGUGGGUGGGUGUGGUUAUAGGUAGGGGUCGGGAGAGGAAGCGGAGGAGGGGGAAGGAGGGGAGGAACAAGGCCAGUAGAGAUCUGCAUGCCGGUACCCCCUUCCUCUUGCGUUUCCUUCCCGGGGUGCGUGUGUGUGCGUGUGUAUGUGUAUGUGUGUGUGUAUGUGGUGCUGUUGGUGCGACUCCUCCCUGGGCUACGUGCGUGAGAGGAGAAUAAUAGAUAUGCAGAUGGACAGACAGACAGACAGACGGACAGACAGAUAGAAGUGCGGAUGGAUGGAUGGAUGGAUGGAUGGAUGGAUGGACAUGCGGACCGACCGACGGGUCGGUAGACAGGCACCGCAGGUAGGCAGGUAGGCAGGUUAAGACAGAAGGUCAGGAGCUCUAGACGAAGUCAGGCGGAGAGGGAGAGUCGGGUAGAUAGGAUAGAGAGACACCAAGCUGGUGUUUGGUGCACAUGUUCUGUGCUUCCCACAUCAUCACCCCGUUCCUCACCCCCUCACACUUGGGUCGUGUUUCCCUACUCACCCCAUCCCAUAUAGUGGUAGUAACAGCAAUAAAAAUAUAAUACAAUAGCAGUAAUGUAUAUCCCUCUUUCCAGCCCCUGCAGUUGGCAACUUGGGAUGUCGACAGUUGUCUUCCCUUCUUGACUUUGCUGCUCCUAAAUUUCCGCCUCCUCUUGAAUCUCUCCCGCUUCCCCCUUCCCCCCGUGUUGUGUAUGAUGUGUUUCACCUCCCCCACCCCCCACCCCACACGCAGGAGCGGUCCCGGCUCACUCCGGGCCUGGCAGAGCGGCCGACUGGACCCCUGGGGCUCGUCAUCCAGUGAUGCCUGGUUCCGUCAGGUGGGGGGAAUGGGGAAAGGGGGGGAGGGGGAGGGAUGCGUUUGUUGGUUUGGUGCUGUAGGGGGAUGUUAGACGUGACUUGUGUGUGUAUGUGUGUGUGUGUGUGUGCGCUAAUGUUGUAUACACCACAUGGCCCGGCAUGCGAGUACAUGUGUGUGUAUGUGUGUAAUCGUGUGCGUGUAUGUGCACGUAUUAUAAUAUUAAUUGUUUCUCUCACUCUGGCGAUAUCCCAUUUCAAUUCAUCACCUCUUUGUGUUGCUGAUGUUGUACAGGUGGAACGGCAGACACGUAAUCCGUACGGCCCAUCUCGGCAAGGGUACGGCAGUUCCCAAGACGAUGAUGAUGGUAGUGGUUUCGGAGCUGGAGGCAGCGAGUGGGACCCCAGCCGGCGUGUACCGGGAUGGAGUCCUCCAGGUGCGUGCUUGAAUGCCGGUGGUUGGUUGGUUGGGUUCCGUUGGCUUGUUUGUUGGGUCCGUUAGUUAGGUUGGCUCCAUUCAUCUGUCUGAUUUCCCCCCAGACUGAUUGCCCCCUGUUUCUUCAAUUGACUUAUUCCGUAGUUCCUUGUAGCGGUGUGUCGGAGCCGUAGCGGUUCAGACAGACAGGCAGAAAGACAGACAGACAGACAGACAGACAGACAGACAGACAGACAGACAGACAGACAGACAAAGAGUAGCAAACAACCCAGACCUGACCGUGAUGUGCUGGGCCUGUACCUGGUGUCCCGCAAUAGAGAAGUUGCGGCGGUUCGACUCCCCUCCCGGUGGUUUAUCUGGAGGAGAGGAGUGGACCAGGCGGUACCAGGCGAACCAAAAUCAAAAUUAAAAAUCAGCAGCAGGAUAGAAGGAGACCGGGGGCGGGGGGGGGCCCCGCCAGUGCUACCCCAGAAUGGAGUGGCUCACCCCUGCCACCCCCUUCCACAUGUGCGAGUGCGGGGGGCAAGAGAGGAGGAAGCCAUCCUUACGUCCAGUUUUCCCGUCGUAUCCAAAUCUUAAGAUUUAUUGAAUGCUUUCGUCGUGGCCCCACGAAUUCGGUCUGGAUUUUGGUCCUGGUCUGUUCCUGAUGCUGGGUGUCGUACUCUUGUUGUUUUCUUAUUUCGUUGGUUGGUUGGUUUCGGAGUGCAGGUCGCGGCAGUGAGUGGAGCCACCCCAGGCGGCAAUGGGACGAUGAGGAGCAACGAGGAGGCGGAGGAGGAGGAGGAGGAGGGCCCGGCAGGCGGGGAGGCGGUGGGGGAGGCGACUUCCGACGGCCCUUCAAAAUCUGAAGAAAAAGCAAACACCCUUUGCAUGUGCUGUAUGCGCACAUGUCCGUAUGUAUGCAUGUAUGUUGUAUGUUCCUGUCUGAACUGGUUGAGUGAUCGAGUGAUGUUAUCUGAUGCAUACGAGGAUUGCUUUCAUGAACUGGUGUGGGAAUUCCCUUCGAAGGACUUGCAAGUGCAUGUGCAUGUGCACUGGAAUCCCCACGGCAUCCCUACAUGCCAUCCGACCAGUCACCGAUCGGUAAUUAAUUACUUGGAACACGGAAGUCCGUUCGGAUUUGGCCUUGGCGACCCUGACUGACUGAAUCAAUAAUUAAUAGAGAUUUCAACCUGCGAUUUUCAAAGUUGGCCAGGGCAAAUCGCCCGGGUUCAACAACCUCGCCGCCCUCGUCCUUCUGGCCAUUAAAUUGCUUAUCUAAUAACGAUAUCAAAGAUUUAAUGAACCUAGAGAACUUCCCACAGAUAUCCUUGACUACCGCCGUCGGGUUUCACAUCGGCUACGCUUUCUUACAGAACAACAAUGUACGAGGUAUAGUUAUGCAUUUAAAUUUUGCAAAGGUUACAACUCAGGCAUGGCAGAGGUACAUCACAGUGUACUGCAACAUGGAAGACAUUUCUUUCUACCCAUCUUCGUUCAGGGACUUCAAUAACAACUCCAUUGCUCAAGUUUGGGACUCAGUUUUGCUUCAAUUGGGGAGAGUUCCUGCGGGUUGUUACACGGGGAGCAUUUCAAGGCUCCCCGAGAAGGGGUGGCGUCCCCCAGAGACGUCUCCCCAAAUCGCACCUCGCCCGGAGGCAGCCAUAGCUCGGCCUGGACAAAACUCAGUUUGCUGUAAUGGAAUGUAAUGGAAAGUAAGAGUUGUAAGAAAUAUGGGGAGAAGACUGCACGGAAUUAUGCAGUCACGCACUGCAGUCAGCAGCAAGGAAAAGCUGCCGAGGCCCGUGCGGCCUUCUCCACACGGCAUGACGGCUUCAUGCUCUGUCAGCAUUGCAAUACAGAGCACGCCUUGAGAAAGGUAGAGUUGUAAGAAAUAUGGGGGUCAUUUCCUUGCUCUUGGAGAUUGCGGUAAACUAAUUUGCCAUGGACCCGAAAACCUGCAGCUUUUAAUGCAUUAUGUCGUCUUUGACUUAAUUGCGUGCUUGCUGAAGGAUGUUUUGUCAGUGAAUCUAGCGUUUAGGGCGUCGCACACGAGCCGGUCUGGCUCCUCGGUAACAACUACACUACAAUCUCAAUGAAAUCUAGGUCAUAAAAGGCGCGUGGUUGUGCACGUAUGCAGCGCAGGAUUUUUUGACCGAUGUUACAACCCCCCCGCAGCCGUUUGCCGACCUCUGACAGGAACUACCUCAAAGGUCCGAUGAACUACAAUUCAGUUAAUGUCGUUAGGCCGUUGGUCCCGACACAGGCAAUCCCUGCCAGGGCAUUCCAGGCCAUGGACCACGCAGAGUCAGAGACUAGUAAAGAAUAUGUUAAGAUUGUUCUACGUGGCUGUUUCCCAUCUGUAUGCAACAUUAUCCUGUCGCUUUCUGGCCGUGGCGUACUUCGUUCGUCAUCCGGGGUCAUCCCCGCGUUGGAAGGUACAGGCGUAAAUUCCCAACAACCAUUGCAUAAUCAUGUCAUAAUCUUAUAUGCAAUAUUAUUUCUGUUAACGGACGCCCAACGGUAUAAUCACCAUCGUAUACAUACACCAAAAGAACGCCUAACCCAAACUACUGUAUUUGUCCCCAAGAUCUUUAUUUAUACGUCUACAUCUAACGCUUGUUACAUAUAUAGUUUCAGCUGCGCCUUAGGGAGGAGUGCUCCAAUCGCCUGACUCGCGACAAUGUGGUCCGCGACGAGACACCUUGGCACCGGGGCAACGCCAAGGUUAAACCCAGGUACAUCAGACUAUAAUGUAAUUAUGUUCUCGAAAUCUUACAUCUUGAUGAAAGGAAUGUCCGUCGCUUGCAGGCACGACUUCAAUUGUACCAGCGCCCAUGCGCACGACGCGGCGCCAGCUGCUACGCAUCGAGGCGCGUUCUCCUCCGAUUCAGGGAGAAGAAAAAUCUUCAUCGGCUACCCUGGAACGGCCGGUACAAAAGGCGGUAAGUUACCCUCGCGCCAGCCAACGCUAAUGCUUCCGACUGCGGUGCGCCGAGUAAGCGCGGACCUCGACACGGGGGACGCUGGAAUCCAGAUGAAUCCAUAGGUACUAGCCUUUGAAGUUGGACCUGGGUUUUGUCUCCCCUUGCUCCUGAUCGGCCGAGCUGUUGAUGUUGCUUCGUAAGACAUGGCAACAGGGGCUUCUACGUGAACCUUAACGAUAACUUCCAAGUUUUCCAAAAUUUUACAUGUUUUAUAUCGAUUAUAGUUUCCAUUUUUCUUUGUAUGAACUGGACACGGAUUGGAAGUUUCGUACUCGGCGCGAAUAGUUCGCACCAGCAGCCAGAACGUCCCAGCACCAGCCCGGGGUUGUUCAUGCCCCGGCGGUCCGUUCACCUGCGAGCUCUGCGAGGGCACACAAUGUUGCGCGGCCGCGCAGUGGCCCUUCAAGUGGUCCCCAUCUUUGACGCCCUUUGCAAAAUCCUACCUACUGUUACCCAGCCUCAAUAAUCAUCUGGAUCAACCCGCCCAUGCGCUCUCUUUACACUCAGCAAAGCAAGCAAUCCCCUAAAAAUCGCACAAGCUCGAAGCCCACUCCAUUCCUUACCCGCCCUAUCCAUACAAACUCGCACAUCUAUUCCCCCCAUAGGUCGCGCAACGGCCACCGACGUCCCCCCCACCGCCGCUACCACCACCACCACCACCCGAGAUCUAUCCGGCCGCCGCCCCCACACCCGUCGUCACCGCCGCCACCACCACCACCACCACCACCACCACCACCACCACCACCACCACCGCCGCCACCACCACCACGGCCACUCCGUCCCCGCUGUUCCCUCAGCCCGGUGAGCCCCGGUGGCCCCCGCGAAGGCCCUUCGCCUCAGUGGNNNNNNNNNNNNNNNNNNNNNNNNNNNNNNNNNNNNNNNNNNNNNNNNNNNNNNNNNNNNNNNNNNNNNNNNNNNNNNNNNNNNNNNNNNNNNNNNNNNNNNNNNNNNNNNNNNNNNNNNNNNNNNNNNNNNNNNNNNNNNNNNNNNNNNNNNNNNNNNNNNNNNNNNNNNNNNNNNNNNNNNNNNNNNNNNNNNNNNNNNNNNNNNNNNNNNNNNNNNNNNNNNNNNNNNNNNNNNNNNNNNNNNNNNNNNNNNNNNNNNNNNNNNNNNNNNNNNNNNNNNNNNNNNNNNNNNNNNNNNNNNNNNNNNNNNNNNNNNNNNNNNNNNNNNNNNNNNNNNNNNNNNNNNNNNNNNNNNNNNNNNNNNNNNNNNNNNNNNNNNNNNNNNNNNNNNNNNNNNNNNNNNNNNNNNNNNNNNNNNNNNNNNNNNNNNNNNNNNNNNNNNNNNNNNNNNNNNNNNNNNNNNNNNNNNNNNNNNNNNNNNNNNNNNNNNNNNNNNNNNNNNNNNNNNNNNNNNNNNNNNNNNNNNNNNNNNNNNNNNNNNNNNNNNCUCAGAGGAUCCCCUUCCCACUUUCAACUCAGGGUGUUGUGCGUGUGUGUCUGUGUCUGUGUGUCUGUAUGUGUGUAUUCAGGUGGCAACGGGCGUAUGCGUCUCCGCUCAUCCACCAAGCCCGUGGUGCUGGUGCUGGGGAGCGGCUGGGGAGCGCACUCGCUCAUUAAGGUGGGGAGGGCGGGAGAAGAUGUCGUACCGCCUGGCGCGUACGUGUUGUACGGCAUGUGCCCCAUCGGCCCCUUCAGCUUUUCCCUCAACCCGCAUUUCCUUUCCCUUGCUGCUGCCGGGGCCCCUCGUGCAGGUCAUCGACACGGACAUGUACGACGUCGUUGUCGUAUCUCCCCGCAACCACUUUGUGUUCACCCCCAUGCUCCCCUCCACCGCGGUGGGAACUGUGGAGUUCCGCUCCCUGCUGGAGCCCAUCCGUACUUCCAACCCGUGUGUCACGUACCUGGAGGCGCAGUGCGAAACAUUGGACCCGGAGGGUGAGGGGGGGGGGGGAGAGGGGUUUUAGGGUUUUGGCGGGGGGAGGGGGGAGCCCCCAUGUGAGGGGCAGGGUGAGGGUCCCUGCCCAGGAUAACCCCCGCCCCUCUGGCCCCUUACCUUCCUCGCCUCGCAGCCAAGGUGGCUGUCUGCACUUCGUCUUUCGCGUACGACGACGGCAGGCGACCUCAGUUUGAGGUGGGUAGGAGUGUGAGGGCGGGAGGGAGGGAUGGAAGGAGGAGAGUGAAAGAGUGGGGGAGUCCGGAGCCGGGUUUUGUUGGGGUUGGUCGGUUGUGUGGAUGGCCGCUGCUACCUGUCCUCAGGUUGCUCGUCCAAUCCACUCACCUCCUGCAGCUGUCCAAACCAUGGCAAAUGCAGAUCCAGUACGACAAGGCGGUUGUGGCGGUUGGCGAGCAACCUGCCACCUUCGGAGUUCCGGGAGUGAAGGAGCACUGCUUCUUCAUGAAAGGUGAAAAGGGAGGGGGGGGGAGGGCCGUUUGUCGUCUUGCGACUGACGCAGCCUAUGUGUAUGCGUGCGCGGGUGUGUGGGGGGGGGCUUUGUGGGAGGGAAGAGAGUGUAUCCAGAACCUCUCAAUUCGUAAUUCGUAAUAUUUAUGAAGGUCGCCCCCCCCUUAUGAAGGCCCCUCCCGCAAGUCUCCACGCAACCCCCCCACACACACUCCGCCAUACCUCACAUUCGAACACGGCACUGUUACCACACGCACACACACACACACACACACGCACACACACACACACACACACGCACACACACACGCACACACACACACACACACGCACACGCACACUCGAGUCCUUUACCUCGCCGCACCCCUUCCCCCCGCUCCUCGACCGGGCUCGGGAACCCCCUCCGGGAGAGGGGGGUAGAGGUCACGGAUGCGGUGGCCCUCAGGAAAAAAAUCGCGGAGAAGUUUGAGCUGGCUUGUCUACCGGGCACAUCUGAGCAGCAGAGGUGUGUAUGCGUGUGUAUGCGUGUGUAUGUGUGUGUAUGCGUGUGUAUGCGUGUGUAUGCGUGUGUAUGCGUGUGUAUGUGUGUGUAUGUGUGUGUAUGUAUGUGUGUGUAUGUAUGUGUGCAUGCAUGUGUGCAUGCAUGUGUGCAUGCAUGUGUGUAUGUAUGUGUGCAUGCAUGUGUGUAUGUAUGCGUGUAUGUAUGUGUGUAUGUGUGUGUAUGUGUGUGUAUGCGUGUGUAUGCGUGUGUAUGCGUGUGCAUGCAUGUGUGUAUGUAUGUGUGUAUGUAUGUGUGCAUGCAUGUGUAUGUGUGUAUGUGUGUAUGUGUGUGUGCAUGCAUGUGUAUGUGUGUAUGUGUGUGUGCAUGCAUGUGUAUGUGUGUAUGUGUGUGUGCAUGCAUGUGUGUGUGUAUGUGUGUGUGCAUGCAUGUGUGUGUGUAUGUGUGCAUGCAUAUGUGUGCAUGCAUAUGUAUGUAUUUCUGUCUGUAAGGCGGAAAAAUGGCGGGGCCAGUGGACAGUUAGCCGUUGGCCGUUGUUUGCAAGCUGUGCAAAUGAACAGAGACACACGUUGGAGCUCUCCUUGCGGCUGAUGGGUGAAUCGCUUAGCCCCCGACCCUCACCCCCCUCGCCCCCCUCAGUGAGCUUCUCGCACCCCUCAGAAGCAUUUCUCUAACUCCCUUAGGCCUUGAACAUUGACAAGUUACAAGUUACAAGUUACAAGUUACAAGUUGCAAGUUGCAAGUCACAAGUUGCAAGUGCGAGGGGCAUCCGUUAAAGCAGGGUGGCCCAUGAACUCGUACGCGAAACCCGCCUCCUCCCCCGCCUCCUCCCCCGCCUCCUCCCCCUCCUCCCCCGCCUCCCCCUUCCGCCUCCAGACGCGCCGCUCUGAACUUCGUGGUGGUUGGCGGCGGUCCCACCGGUGUCGAGUUCGCCGGUACUCUGAGCGACUUUCUGAGGGAGGACCUCAGGAAGAAGUACCCGGCACUAAUGCCGUACGUACGGGUGACGUUACUGCAGGUGAGAGGAUGAGAGGGUGGGGGGAAGGGAAAAGGGAAGCGGGAUGGACCGAGGUAGGGGGUGCAGUGUGGAAGAAGUGGCGUGGCGGAGGGAGUAUGGGUAUAGAAAAACACGCCCACCCUCACCCCCCCACACACACACAUACACAUGCCAAGCACCCCUAAACCCCCCUCCCGCAACCCCCUCCCGCAUCCUCCUUCAACCUUCACCCUCCGGCUUCAGAGUGUGUCGUCCAAACCUGAACCCCCAGCCUCCUACCCUCCCCUUACCGCCCCCCCCCCCCCACACACAAGCAGAGUGUGUCGUCCAUCCUGACCCAGUUCGAUGAGCGACUGCAACGCAACGCCCUCAGCAACCUGACGUCCUCGGGGGUGGAGGUGCGGACCAAUGUGCGGGUGGUGGGCGUCAACAAGGAUAAGGUAACGCUGUGUGUGUAUGUGUGUGUGUAGGGUUUAAAGUUUGGAUAGCUUUGGAGAGUAAACAUUUUCUUGAAGGCUUUCAUUAAGAUUUUAGGUUUCGAGGUUUUCGGGUUUUAAGGUUUUACUAUCUUAAGGGUUCCUUAAAACCCUAAAAGUUAAGGACUGGGAGGAGAUUUCUCUUUUUCAGAGGAUGGGAGGAGGAAAUAUGCGCGAAAAUUUCUUUCACAUCUCGCUGCUCUUUAAUAUAUCGACGCGAACCCUACCGCCCUAAAUGUUCAGGUGCUGCUCAAAGGGGGGGAAGAGCUGGACUACGGAGUGUGCGUGUGGUCCGCCGGCAAUGCGCCCCGGCCCUUGGUGACCCAGAUCGCCUCAGAGGUGCCUCAACAGGCAAUGGCGGCCGAGGUGGGGUGGGGGGGGCGGGGGGGAGGGUAGCUUGCGAUUUCAGAUCAGCAAAGGUCCUAAUUGUGGGGUAGGACGCAUCUUCCUGCCUCGAGCCUCCUUGAUCAUGUUCCAACAAUCCUGCAUUGCCUGGGGACUCGCGCCCUCCGGGUCCAUCAGCCCCAAGUGUUGACAACAUCACUUCCGGUGUCUCACCUGCCCCUUGCAUGCCCCUCCUCGGCUCCACGUCCCCCAUGAGCCCCUCCCUCCCCCCCACCUACCCUCCGGCCCCUAGGCCUCCCGCCUCUCCCCUGGCUCCAAGCUGUGUGUGGACUCGUUCCUGCGUGUGGUGGGGGCCAGCGACCUGCUCGCACUGGGGGACUGCUCGCUGGUGCUGGGGAACAGACUGCCGGCAACGGCGCAGGUGGGGGGAAGAGGAGGUGGGGGGAGAGGAGGGGGGGAGAGGAGGGGGGGAAGGGGGGGGAGAGGAGGGGUGGGGAGGGGGGGAGAGGAGGGGGCCCUGUGCUGUGUUGACCAUGGAGGGGAGGGUCGAGGGGGUUGCAGUGAGGGGAGUUGACCAAAAGAGAUUACAGACCCUUUGUAUGUAUGUAUGUAUCUAUGCAUGUAUUUAAGUAUGUAUUCUGUAUGUAUGUUUGUUUGUUGCCGUAAAUGAAUGUUCUCUAAAGUUAUGGCCAACUAAUGGCAUGACCUCUGACCUCGUAAACCAUCGUACGACUUCUUUACUGUGUCGCCGUGCCGUACUUCCUCUUGCUGCUGCUAGGUUGCCGGCCAGCAGGGCGCCUACCUGGCCCACCUGCUGAACAGCGGGUACAACCUGGGGGUGGGGGGCUACACACAGCCGCCACCGUUCCAAGUUGUGCCCAGAUGCACGCUACAGGUACGACGAACCAAGGCGCAACGUAUGUGUCUGUAUGUGCCGUAAACACGUGCUGUACAUAUGCCUUUCGUACGUGUGUCCCUAAAGGCAAUGAUGAGAACCCUUUGGUUUUCGUAAAGUUUGGUGUCCCCUCAAGGGGCACACAUUUCAACCACGUUAGAGCUGCUCGUUGUCCGGCCCUCGGUUUCCGUUCGGCUUCCUCCUUUGGGUGACCCAAAAGGGUCACCUCCCGUGGAAUAUUAUACCAUAACAAUACAGGCCAAUCCUUAUCUACAUUUAGAUUGUGCGGUUCUAAGCUUAUUAGGCCCAUGCCUUACUCUUGGCGAUCUUCCUAAUCUUUUCCUUAACAUCAUGCACACACCCGCAUGUCAGUCACUCAGCACUCAUAAACUCCCACCCACUGAAAACCCUUUCAGACCUCCAUCCCUCCCGUCCAGCUCACGCCCCAACGGGUCCACGGGUCCAUGUAUUAAUGGGGCCUCACUCUCCCCGGUGGUUUGUGACACUCCCUGAGCUUCCAACUCCCAACUCCCAACUUCCAACCUCCCAACUCCCCGCCUAGACCGCCACCGACCGCAGUCCAUUUCUCCGUUGGUUAGCCGCCUCGAUGGCCGGAGGAAAGGAACGCAUUGAGACGGGCGUGAUGGU